This 57987-nucleotide long non-coding RNA is filed under the name Gossypium barbadense (sea-island cotton). RNAcentral describes it as "long non-coding RNA (GBAR_LNC013172)". Lineage: Eukaryota; Viridiplantae; Streptophyta; Magnoliopsida; Malvales; Malvaceae. The record is from RNAcentral.
UAUGUAAAAAAAAGUGAGGGUUAUACAACACAAUUUCUAGUCCAAACCCAGUUGAUUGUUAAUAUAUAUGUAAUGUUGGAGAAAUUUUUUUAAUGUAUUUGCAACUAUCUUAUACCCUUAAAACGCAAUUUGGAGUCACUUAAAAAGUGCAUGUAGAGUUACGAUCUUAUUAUCAAUAAGGCCAUGGUAAGUGACUACAUAUAUAUAUAUAUAUAGUAAUAGUUGAUUUUUGCUCAAAUUCCCAUGCUGGUUAGAGAGAAAAAAAAAAUCAAUUUGCGGUGUUCUGACAAUUUUGAAUACGUUAAAAUGUAAAAUAAGUCUUCUGAAAAUAAUUAAAAUGAAUUAAGUUUUUUUGUCGAAAAGUGCACUUAUUUGAGCUCUCUGAAUUAUGAUUAGUAUUCAAUUAAGCCCUUUGAAUUUAUCUUUCUGUUAAAGCUCCUGACGGCCGUCAAUUACUAACAUGGUAAAAAUACUAACGUCGCAAGCUGUUGUGGAAAAAUGAUGACGUGGAAUGUUUAAUUGAUAUUUUUUUAUUUUAUUUUAUGAAGGCUUAAUUGAUUUUCUUAUUAUUUUACGAGGGUUUAAUUGAUUGUGUAAGUAAAAGAAUUAUUAAAAUUCUAAAAAUAAAUCUAUUUUUUACACAUGAAUUAAAAAAUUCAUAAAAAGUUAUUAAAAAAUUAUUUAAAAAUAUAGAGAAUUUUUAAUAUUUUAUAAAAGCUUUUACUAUAAUAUAAAAAAAUAUUAUAAAAAAAUUAGAAAAUUUAUUGAAACAUCAUUAAAUAUUAUAAAUUAUUAUAAAAAUAGUAUAAUUUUUUAAAAUUAUUAAAAAUUAGAAAAACUACAAAUAGCUUAGAGAAAAUUAUUAAAAAUCAAUAGAAGUUUAUAAAAUAAAAGUUUAUAAAAAUUAUAGAAAAAUUUUGUUAUUUUGUUGGUAUGGAGUCUUUUGUUUUGGUGAUAAGGAAAUGGGGAAAUUGAAGUUUGAUGAUCAAACUUGUAUGGGGUGUCAAGUGAGAGGUUUAAGUGACGAAGAAUUCAGUGCUUGAUGGCUUAAGGUGAAUGUUGGGUAAAGGUGCUCAUGGAUCGAUCCGAUUUACAACAAUUAAAAAUGUGUAGAAAAUAAGUUUAUGUUAAUAUUUUUUUAUAUUUUAUAAUUAAAUUUAAAUAAAAAACAUUUUUAUUAUUUCUAAACCAGUGAAACGAAAUCAUUUUGGAGAGUUAAGUCUAGUUAGACUUGAGUCUAAUUUUUUUUUUUCUGAAAUCAGGCCUAAAUUCAACUAAUCCUAUGAACAUCUAAAUAUUUUAGUUGAUGAUAGAUUAUGCGAAGAAGUUGACAAGGAUAUAAGACGAUGCAUGCGAGAAAACAAACAUGUGUAGUAAUUUUUAAUUUUUAUAAAUUUUCUUUAUUUUUUAUAUUUUAUAUAGUAUUUGAAUAAAUAUAAUAUAUUUUUCUAAAAUUUUUAAUAACAUUUAAAUUGUUUCUAUAAUUUUUUUUUAUAAAUUUUGUAACAUUUUUCUAAAAAUUUUUAUAACAUUUAAAAAAUUUCUAUAUUUUUAAUAGUUUUUAUAAUUAUUUAUAAUUUUCUAAUAAUUUUUAAUGAAUUUUAUAAUUCAUGUUAAAAUUAGAUUUUUUUCAUAAUUUUAAUAAAGUUUUUACUGAAAUAAUCAAUUAAGCCCUCAUAAAAUAAUAAAAAAAUCAAUUAAGUCCUCCAUAUCAUCAUUUUGCCACGUUAGCUUGCCACAUCACCUGUUACAUCAACAGUUAACAACCUUUAAGGAUUUCAACGGAAAAAUAAAUUUAAGAGGCUUAAUUGGAUGCCAUUCAUGACUCAAAGGGUUCAAUUGGGCGCACUUAUUGAUGAGGGGUUUAAAUGAUUUUUUAAUUAUUUUCGAAGGAUUUAUUUGUCAUUUUAGCCUUUUGGGUUCAUAAUCUAAAAAAAUCAAUUAUCUUUUAUCUACUUAAAAAUUUAAUUAUUUUAAAAAUAUUUAUCAAUAAAAUUUUGAAACUUUACGAAAUAGUAUUUAAAACUCAUUUUUAUCAAAAUAAAGUCCAAAAUCUUAAAACCUAUAUCAACAUGAAAAAAAAAUUAAGAACCGAACCUAACCAAAUUACCAUAAACAAUUUAAAAAAACUUGAUAAAACCGAACCAAACUCGGCUUGGAAGGUUCCCCCUAAGGAUAAUUUCAAUGUUGACCUUAGAAUUAACGAUACUAAAUAUAUUUGUAGCUCUUUGAUUAGAGUGAGUCAACUAUGAAUCUUAAUGGUGUAAUCUUUGCCAUUUGCUGUCAUUGAUUCCUUGUUGGUUUCUUUUAUAGGCAAUAUCUCUCUGGCAACAUGUUUUAAGAGAAAAGGUUGGAAUCUACUUGUAUUUAUGUUUAUUAAGUACAAGACAACAACAUGAAUAUUUGGAAGUUUAUCUAUGUAUAGUACUUGCUUUAGGUUCCUAAUUCCUAUGUAAUUUAAUGAUAGCAUACCACAUACAUAGAUACAUGCACACAUGCAAAUCUUUAUAACAUGUUGGGGGCACUUCCCUUAUUAUAUAUAACUACCACAACACAUCGUCCUUAAUCCUGUUCUAUUUUCAUGUAAUCAAGAUAAGAUUUCCCCUGAAGCUUACGAGAGAACAUCCCUUUGUAGUAUUCUUCAACUUUCACCCUCCUAAACAUGGCAGACUUUUGUUUUGACACCAAGCUGGGUGCAGGCCCUAUUUCUCCCCCAGCCCCCACUCCGAUGAAUGUCGCAAACGAGAGCCUUUCCUUUUUUGGGUUCACUGUCGCACGAUGUUCAAUGCUACGGUACGUCCCGUUCGUUAAAAUCUGCCAUACAAAAUAUCAGUGAUGUUGUAAAGUUGGAAUACGAUGGUGCUAUAUAUAUAUAAUUAUUGAAUAAACUACAUUGAUAGUCACUCAACUAUUAGUAAAUUUUUUUUUUGUCAUUCAACUAUGACAAGUUACAAAAUUGUCACUCAACUAUUAAACUUUUUCUUUUAAAAUUGGCAUAAUAGCAACUUUAAUCCUCAAUAGUUAUACACUGUGCUAAUUUAAUCUUGAUUAAUUGAUUUUAAAAUAUUUAACCCUCAACAUUUAUACAUUGUGUAAUUUGGUUUCCUUUUUGCAUUUUUACUUUUCUUUGUGACAUUAAAGGUUACUUGUAAAAGAAUGAGAAAAGAUGAAAAAUAUUAUCUUGAAUUUUUGGGUAUUUCCAUUUUUUGGUAUAUUUUCAAUUAAAUUUAGUUAAUAAAUUUAUUUUUUAAUUUUUAGGUGAAAUUAUCACAUACAAAAGAAAAACUAAAAAAAAAAAACUUAGUACAUAAUAUGUAACGUUGAGGGUUAUUUUUUUAGACUCAAUUAUGACUAAAUUGACAUUAUGUAUAAAUGUUAAAGUUAAUAUUAUGCCAAUUUAAAAGUUAAACAGGGUGAAAAAAAAGGCAAAAUCAAAUAGUUAGGUAACAUUUUUGUAACUUUCCAUAAUUGAAUGAUAAAAAAAAAAACUUACCAAUAAUUGGGAAACUACUAGUUUACCCUUAAUUAUUCUACCUCUAAGAUGUCUCCAACGUUGAGAAUGAAGGCAUUUGGGAGUGGUUUAACGGGAACCCAAUUCCCAUCUUUCCUUACUUGAAGACCAUGGACAUCAUUGAGCUGAAGCAAAAUGGUUAUGAGAGUAGCAUCUGAGUGAGGAGUGAGGCCCAAGACCUGGUCAGAUAGAUGACAUGGUGGGUAAUAGUUAACCCUAAUUGUUUGCCUUCCCUCUCCGACGAGCUCCUUCAUUUCUUCGGUUUUCAUGCCAAUGGCUUCUACAAUCUUUUCUAGGAUUGCCGUUGAUAGCUUGUUUAACUCAGAUGUGUAAAGCUCCAUUAUAUCUCUACACCAAAAGCAUUAGAAUAAUUGGUUAGGUUAAAGCCAAUUAGCCUAAAUGUUUCACAAGAGUGUUGGUAUUACUUUUGAUAUAGUGAUAACCUGUAUAUUUUUUUGCGUGUGUUUGUGUACGUGGCAUACUUGUGUCUAAUAACAUUUUUAGUUCAUGAUAUUUAGAUUAUGAUGUGAUUUGAUGUUUUAGUUAUAAAUUGUGGGAGUGUUGUACCUCAAAGGAAGAGGGAGGUUGGGGAACAAGCGAGGGUUUCUAAGGUGGAGAGGAUGAGUGAGCAUGUUGAAGAGGUCACACCAAUCAAGCUUUUGACCUUCCGACACAACAAAAGCUUGUCCGAAUCCUUCUACAUUCCCAGGACAUUGCCACAGCUUUUUCUUCUCUUCCAUCGGAAGUUUGAACAACUCCUCCAAUUCCGCUUUCACUUUCUCCAGCAAUCUUAAGUUCACUCCAUGGUUCACUAGCUGCACCAUGAAUUUACAAAUUGUUAAAGUCCUAACCAAAUUCACACACACAUAUAUUUAUAUUUCGUUUUACGAAUCAUGAUCAGGGUUCACAACUAUCCCUUUCAACAAUACCGUCUUCAAAGUUUGAACAUAUGUUCUCUUUUUGGGAGUACAAUAUGUUUUACCACUACACCCAACACUUACUAGUAAAGAGUAAUCAAGCUGAGUCGAGCCCAAGUAUUGUCAAGCUCGAGCUCAAUCUCGAUCGAACAUCUAUUUUUAAGUUCAAGCUCGGCUCUAGAUAUAAUCGAGCUUGAUUAAGCUCGUUUACCAAUUUUUGUACCCAAGCUAGGCUCGAUAAUUAAGCUUAGGUUUAAUGAUAUAUAUUAAGGGAAAUAACAUAAUUUAAUAAUAGAAAAUUAUAAAAAGCUCAAUAAGACUUGCAAGUUAUUCGAGUCAAGUAUUACUAAGCUUGAAUUCAACUUGUCAAUAGCUCGAGUUCGGUUCUAUAAUUACUGGUCAAAUUUGAUUUUGUUUAAAUCAAACUCAAAUAAUUUCUAAGUAUCAAAGUCUCAUUUAUACCCUACUUAUAAGUUAAAGAAACUGUGUAAGGAUUUAAGUAUGUUAAAGAAACCUGGAAAAGCCUCAUUAUGUCAUGUUAAAGAAAUGGUAACAACCUAAUUAGUUACUAAACUUUUACAUGUUUCUGUUUCAAUUAGUCAACUAUGAAAAUUUGUAAUUUAAAUUAUUUCAAAUUCAUUUUUUAGUCAACACAAGAUGACAUUAUCGUUUAUUUUUUAGAUAAACUCAAUUAUUAGUGUUUCUGUUUUAGUCACUCGACUAUACAAAAUUAUUUUAAAUUAGAUUUUUUAAUCACCAUACUAUUAAGUUGAUAACGGAGGUUUGAUAUUAUCUUUUUUAUUGAUCUAAUAAUAAAUUUAGCCCUUUGAUAUUUAUACUUUUUAUCAAUUUAGUCAUAAUUCUUAAAAAAUCCAAUAAAUUUAGCCCUUAAUAUUUUCAAAAUUUGUUAAUUUAAUACUAAUUGUUGAUUUUUUUUUCUCUUGUUCCUAUUUUUAUGCUCUUAGCUAGUGCCAUUUAGUGUAGAAAACCUAAAGGUUUCCAGUUUCCUCUGCUAGAAAGAUCAUAAAUUGUUGACAAAUUUUUUUAACACUUCAGAUUAAACGGUGCUUCCUUGACAUUGAAAAACUUAAAAAAAAAUAAUUUUCGGUGCCAAAAAAGUCAUAACUUGUUGGAAAUUUUUUAUGUUAAAACAAUGGCUCUCCCAUGCGAAAAGAGAACUCAAAUCUUAUUAGCGUCAAAUACAAAAUAUUAUAUAUAUAUAUAUAUAUAUAUAGAUAGAUGUAAAACAUUUCUAGCACCAAAUACUAGUAAAAAUGCUUAGAGCUAUUUUUUUUUUUAGAAUUAGAACUAAAUUGAUAGAACAUAUAAAUAUUGAAGAGAUAAUUUUUUUUAUUCAAUAAAAAAAGGCCAUGUCGAAACUUCCGUUUUCAACUUAAUGGCAUGGUAACUAAAAAUUCUAAUUUUGAAUACUUUAUUGACCAAAUCCAAAAAAAAUUAUAGUUUGGUGACCAAAACAGAAACAUUCUCAUAAUUGAGUGAUCAUUCAUGUGAUUUAUCCAAAAAUUAAAUGGUCACAUCAUCCAAUCGUUUCAAACUUAACCACAAGAAAUGAUUGUAUGAAACUAUGAUUCCACGUCAUCCCUAUGCCUUUCUAAUAAGUGAAUGACAAAUCAUAUUUUUCCUCCUGAAUUUUAGCAUUUUUAGUUGGAUUUGAAUUUUUUCGGGAGAGAAAAGUUAAAAAUAAUGAGGAAAUAUCCGAUUUGUCAUUCACUUAUAGGAAAAGGAUAGGGAUGAUGUGGAAUCACAGUUUCAUACAAUCCAUUCUCCUUAACCACGCAGUUACUAAAAAAAUGAAUUCGAGUAACCUAGUAUUUAAAUUGAAAAUUUUCAUGAUCAAACUAGAAACACGGUUAAUUAGGUUAUUUACCCUAGAGAAAUAAUACAUAAAACAUUUUACCUGGAAGAAACCCCAUUCUUUACAAGCAAAAUCAAGCUUGUGGAUUUCGGAAUUCAUUGAUUCUUCAGAGACCAAUCUCUGCAUAUCAAUAACGGGGAUUUCCAACACCUGGUCGCCGCCGUGGGCAACCGCAUCUCCUUCAAGUUCAGGGCGGAGAUACCUGUCGGGAAUGGCGGAUAAAGGUUGUUUAGCCAGCUCUUGAACACUUGGCACCAGCACUGAACUUCCCACAUUGGAUGCUUUUGAAUUCCUUUCCAUGUUUUUCUUCAACUCUUGAAAUUAAAUAUAAACUGAGUUUCGCUAUACUUCCUAAUUUAUAGUACACAAUUGAUGAUUAUUGUCAAUUUAUUAAUCGUAUAUUUCUAAUUUAUUUUUUAUCUGAUAAUUAAAUACGAGUAUAGAAAUAAUUUUGUAUAGAUUGAGUGUAUAGUCGUAUUGCCACAUCUCUAGGUUUUUAAUGGUUUGCUAAUUAAAUACUCUUUCAUGUGCCAUACAUUGCUGUUAAUGGUCGUUUGAGAAAAUAAAAAACCUACUCUUUUUUUUCGGAAAAAAUAUUAAUAAUGGACCAAUUAUUAAUAUUAUUAAAAUAUUUUAACAAAUUAUUGUUGUGGUAUUUUAAAAUUUAAAAAAAUCACUUUUUAAUCAAAGUGAAACGUUGUAAUGCAUUAAAUUUAAUAGAAGAGCUUUAAGAUGUUAAUAAUUAAAUUUAAAAAAUUUAAAAAAAACCUAAAAUUAACUUCAAAAGUCAAAUCUCAUUUUUUAUUAAAAAAAUAACCUUGACUUUUGGUGCUUUGCUACGAUGAGAAUGAAAUGUAAAUUUUUAAAGCCAACUUGACCAUUUAUUUUAAGGGUCAUAUUCCACAUGAAUAUAUUUAAAAAUCUUCAUAUAUUCAAAUUAUAUUAAAUAUACAUGAAAUGAAAAUAUUAAAUAUAUUUUCAUGAGAAAUUUUAUGGGUAGUUUUUUUAUAAUUCAGCUUAUAAUACUCUAUCUCAGUAAGAUUUUCUAACAAUUGACUUUCGAAGUUUUAAUAGGUGAAGAUUCAAUUUCCACUAUGAGUAAAGAUAGAGACAUCCAUGUCCAUGUCCCUAUAGUGUGUGGCCGUGCACCUAUGUACAAUUUGAUGUCUCAAGGUGCUUUCCUUCUAUGAACUUUUCAAGGCUUUAGAAGGAGAUGACAUGACUCAUGAUAAUACCACCAUUUUGGAAGAUUCGAUCAACAAUUCAGUAGACGACACUUUAAAAUUUUUUUUAAAAGAAAUUGUAAAUUCCAUCAACAAAAAUAAUUAAAAAUUCAUUAAAAAUUAUCUCCACAUUUAUAUAAAUAAUAUAUAAAAUCAAACUCUUGACGAAUGUUUAAAAAUUAAUAACGUUGGAAAGUCAACAAAUUGAGAAGGAUUGACUAGACAUUUUAAUUUAGUAAAAUUUGACAAUAUUUAAGCUUCAUUUUGAUUUUAUUUAAAUUAAAUAUUGUCAAAAUUUUGAAUAUUAAUUUAUUCUCCUCAAAAUUUUUAUUUUUAUUUUUUUUAAUAGAUUAGAACACUUUACAUCAAGUUAAAAAAAAGCAAAAGGUGAAGUUACAUACAAGUGUAAAAUUUUUUCUUUCUCAAAAGCCAAUUUGGCAAUGCAAUCAGCUUCAACAUUUUAUUAUUUGAGAACAUGUUCAACUGAUCAAUUCUUUACAUUCUUCAAAAGUUGAGCUAUGCGUUUGAUUAUUAUUAAAUUUGAACACUUCGACAAAGAUUUCUUGAUAGCUCCAAUAACUUCCAUGUUGUCCGUCUGAAUCAAUAUCUUAUCAAAUUAUCUUCUUUGCACCAACAACAUGCCAUCAAGAAUGCCUCAUAAUUCAAUUUCAAAAACUGAACAUUAAUUCUCCAAUCUAUUUAAUCUUAUCUUUAGAAAACUGAAUUUUUUUUUUAAAUUUCUUCAUCAAGUUUACUUUAUCUUUUAUUUCUAAACUGUUCCGUAUUGAAGUUUCAAAAGUUUUAAUUAAAUUUCUUCCGUUGAAAAAUUAAUGUAUAAAUAUUUUAUUUUCAUAAUUUUUUUUUUUGGGUGUGGUGAAGAAUGAUGCUAAAUUAGGAUUGAAUUGAAGUUUUAGAAUCCAUAGGCAUUUAGGUAUUUACGUAUGAUUGUGGGUUAAAAGUAAUCAUUUUUUAAGGUGAUCCUUUUUGAAGCAAUUAUGUUAUUUUAAAAAAAUAGUUAGGUUUUUUUUUUUUGGGUAUAUAUGAGAGUGGAAUUAUUUAACAAGUUAUAUCAAAAUAGCCAAUUAUUUAUUAAAAUAGAUGUUUUUCUAUAGCACCUUGAUAUUUUUAUGGGAGCCUUAGAGUAAAUAGGAUCUUCUUCUUCUUUUUAUCUUUUUUACUUUUUUAUUAUUAAUAUUUUUUUUAUCUUUUUUACUUUGAUGGUGAAGUUUACAAAACAAAAUCAAGCAAGUUUUAUUGUGGGAGGAACAUCCCUGAUAAUAUUAUUGUUGCACAGGAGGUAAUUCAUUCCAUGGAAGGUUUCAAAGGAUGAAAAUAUGGGAUGACUUUGAAAAUUGACUUGGAGAAGGCGUAUGAUAGAGUUAGAUGAGAUUUUUUAGAGGACACCCUAUCGGAAGCAGGAUUACCAUGUUUAUAGGUUUCAGUGAUUCUGAACGGUAUAUAAUCAGCCUCACUCUAGGUCCUUUAGAAUGGUGAUGUCACGAAAGCUUUUAGGUUGUCAUGCGGAAUAAGACAAGGAGACCCUCUUUCGUCAUUUUUGUUUGUACUUUGUAUGGAGAAAUUGGGACACCUAAUUGAGAAGACAAUCAAUCGUGGGAGUUGGUCUCCGAUUUUCCUGUCAAGAAAGGGCUUAGCUUUAUAUCAUUUAUUUUUCGCAGACGAUCUUAUCCUUUUCUAUGAAACCAAUAGGAAUCAAGUAGCUCAAGUUAAUGAUAUUCUUCGCAUAUUCUGUCAUUUUUCGAGCAAAAACGUGAAUAGAGGAAAGUCACAGAUAUUUUCUCUCCCAAUACACUAAUUAGUUUAGCAGAUGCAAUUUGUAGAGAUAUUGGUUUCAUGCAUGUGGAUGAUCUUGGUAAUUAUCUUGGCAUGCCAUUGUUUCACAAAAGAGUCACGACUAAUAUUGUAACAGUCCGUUUUUCAGUGGUGUCAAAAAUAGUAAUUUUGGGGCCACCAAAUCCUAAGAGUAAGUUCAUAAAUAUUAUUAUUUAAUAUUUACAAGUUGAAUAUAGUUUUAAAAAUGUUUUUUAUGGUAAUUUAUGUGAUAUAAAUGAUUAAUUAAGUUCAAGUGGUAAGACCCUGGUCGAGUGGUUUUAGAAAAUGAGGUAUCGGGACCUCAUUUCUAUAAACCAAGCCGUAAAUAUUUUUAUAAAUAUUUAAAAAGUGUCAUUAAGGUGGUAUUAAAGUUUAGUUAAUAAAUUUUAAUGUUUUGAUAGUUAAUUAAUUAAAAAGGACUAAAUUGUAAAAGAUGUAAAAUUUGAUCACUAUUUGAUUUAAGUGAUUAAAUGGUUAAUUGAAUAGAGGAAAAGAGACUUAAAUGGUAAUUAGACCAUUAUGAAAAUUGGUGGACGUUAGUGGGCUUAUAAAUUGUUAAGGUUUGAUUAUUAUUAUAAGGGUAAAAUAGUAAAUUAUUAAAUAUGUAUAUUAUAAUAAAAAUGAUAAAAAUUCAUUAUCAUCUUCUUCAAUUUGAAAGCCACCACCAAAACCCUAAAGGAGAAGAAACCAUUCGGCCAACUUUGGUUUGAUGAUUUGGUAAGCAAACUUUGUCUGUUUUUAAUAAUUUUUAUGUUUUUGAGAUCGUUGCAACUAGGUCCAGCUAGCCCGUACCUUCGGUUUUGAAACUGUUAAAGAUUUUGAAUGUUGAAAUUGAUGAACCUUGUGAUUUUAGAGGUUAAAUGAUGAAUUUGAUAUAUUAUUUAUUAUUUUAAAGUAUUUUAUUAAGUGAAUUUUGAUGAAUUUUUUGAUUAGGGACUAAAUUGUUGAAAUAGUAAAAGUACAAGGAUUUGAUGUGAAAUUAUUGCAAUAAUGGGAUGUAUCUGAUACCAUAAGUAUUCGGCUAGGCUCAAUUUUAGGUAAAAAUGGUUAACUUGCAAGUUUUAGGCUUAAUGACUAAAUUGAAUAAAAGUAAAACUUUAGGGGUAAUUUUGUAAAAAUAUAAAAUAACUAAAUUGCAUAAAAUACAUUGUUUUACUAUCUAAAUUAAUAUAUUGAAUGAAAUUAUUAAUUUAGAUCAAGAUCGAGUGAAAAAUUGAGGAGAAUAGAAAAUUACCAAAAAGCCCUUGUACUUUGACAUUUUUGCAGUUUAGCCAGGUAAGCUCAUAGGUAUAGAAUUGUACAUACCUAUAAAUAUAAAUAAUGUUAACGUUGAUUCAUGAAUGUAUAUACUUACAUAUAUGAUGUUUAAAAUGUGAGUUGAAACUCGAAAUAUUGUAACUGAACAUAAGGUGAGAAAGGAUUUAUUAGAAAACUAUUGAAUAUUUAUGAGAUAUGAUAUAUAUGCGAUUUCAGCAUGAUUAUGAAUUGUUAUAGCAUGUGUAUCGAGAAAUAUGAAAGUGAUUAAUAGAUGAUGUUAAUCAUUGUGAUGGCACAUUGACAGUAUGAAUAUAUGUAUUGAUAUUAUAUCAUGUGUACAGAAACAAUGAAGUGCCCUUGAAUGAUAAAUAUGUUUAAAGGAAAUGGAUUACAUGAAAUGCCCUGUUGAACGUAGUAAUUGCUAGGAUACGAUUGGCGUGCCAAUAGGGUUAGAAUGCACGCUUGUAUAGGAUUUGCACUUCGGUGCCCCUGUAUACACUUCAGUGUCUCUAUUCACACUACAAUGCCCUUGUUUGCACAUUUGUGCGCCUCUCUGCACUUUAGUGCCCCUGUUAUGCAUCUAUAAUGCCUUUGGUGUGGUGUAGUUACCCGAGUAUCCGAGUCAAGUUACUAGUUCGUCAGGCUAAUAGUGAAUGUAAUUUAUAAAAUUAUUUUAAUGUUAAAGGCUAAUGUAUAGUCAAGAUAUUAGUAAAUGUUAAAUGUUAAAUGUUCAAUGUUCAAUGAAUUACUUAAUCAUAUGUGAGUAUCGUUAAAUAGAAGUUAAAUGUGAAAGAGUUAUGUUAAAAUGCACUAGCUUGUGGUUAUGGUUGGUGUUUAUGCUUAUGUUUCGUGAGUUUUGCAAAGGAAAUGGGUGAGAAUAGAUGUUGAAAUGAUAAGUUCAUAGAUGUAACGAAAUAUGAUGAAAUAAAAAGAAUUGUUGAGUUAAAGGACUUACUUGUAAGGAAGGAAUUUAGUUAUGUUGUGAAUAGAUGCUCUGAUUCGCGAAUUGAUAACGUAAUUAAGCUUAUGCUAAGUAAAUGGAAUGGUAAGUAAGUAAAUGAAAUGAUUCAUUGUUUUAAGAAAAGGUUGAUGGUUAUGUAAUUCGGCUUAUAAUACAUUAUUAUGUUAUAAAUGGAAAGUAUUCGGGAUGUUAAUGAACAUAUUCAUUUGUGAUAUGAUAGUUAUAUAGUUUGAUAAAUCUUGAAGCAUUGGUAUAGGUUUAUUUAUGAAUUAUAAAGUUCAUAUUUAAAAUGAAAUAUUAUGUUUAAGUUUAUACGAGCUUACUAAGUAUACUUUGCUUUUGUGGUUGUCUUUCUCCUACUUUACAGAUUAUUGGAAGCUCAAUCGAGUUGGAAGCUAGUCAGAGAUCUAUCACACUAUCCAUCGACUAUAUCGGUAGAUUUUCAUGAUUUUGAGCCAUGGUUAUAAUGGCAUGUAUAGUUGUCUUUGUUUGAUGAAAUUAGCCAUUAUGUUUGGCUUGUAAAUAUGCUAUUUUAAGUGAUGAAAUAGUUGCUAUGUUGACAUGUAUGUAUGAUACUUUAAUGGUUGUUAGGUUGGUAUCUAAGUACUUAAAUGAUGGUAGUUGAAAUGAUGAAUAUAAAGGUAUGUUAUGAAAUGUUGGUUUGGUAUGGAAUGAGAUAGUGCAUUGAGUUGUUAAAUGGUUAGUUUUGGUUGUGGUUGGCAUAUGGCUAAGUUGUUAAGGUAUUGAUUGAGUUGUGUGGAUGGUCAUAUUGGUGGUUAGGAGUACGAAAAUGAUAUGUGAACAUUAUGGUAAAUGUAGUAUAUAAGUUGUUCAAUUGGUUAAUUGAUUUAUGGCUAAAUUUAGUAAAUGUUUAGUCAAAUUUGAUUGUUGUGUUUGAGGUGCCUUUAAGGCAUAUUGGUUGUAUGGCUAAGUACUAUGAUGUUCUAGCAUGCUUAUGCAUGUUUUAGGUGUAUCUUGAAUGCAUGAAAAUAGGUGUUUUUGGUUGGUGUAAGUAACUAGGCUUUGGGUGAGAAAAAUGGCUUAGAAAUGGCUUAUUUAUCGUCCACACAGCCAAAGACACAGGCGUGUGUCUCAGCCGUGUGUGACAUAUAGCCAUGCGACAUGGCUGUGUGUCCCAUGUAGAUUACAAAGUGUUGCAAGUCAGGCGGUUACACUGCCUAGCACACGGCCAGGCACACAAGCGUGUGAGGCCAUUUCGAGGGGUACACGGCUUGGCACACGGGCGUGUGGCUUGGCCGUGUGACCCAAAUCAGAGAGUUACACGGGCACGGACACGGUCUAGGAACGGCCGUGUGUCUUUUUUUUUGAAUACCCACACAACUUGAGACACGAGCGUGUGUCUUAGUCGUGUGACCCUUGUAGUAUGAAAUUUUUAAACUUUUUCCCAAAAAUUCUAUAUAUUUCCGAUUUAGUCCCUAUUCAUUUCUAAGGUGAUUUUUGGGCCUCGAGGACUCAUAUAAGGGACUAUAUGUUUGAGUUUGGAUAAUUUUACUAUGAUUUAUGUUAUGUUUUGAAUUUGUUGAAUAUUUGUUCAUUGUGAUAUGUAAACUUCUGGUAUUGCUCCGUAGCUCUAUUCCGAUAGUGGAUACAGCUAGGAGUGUUACAAAUACUUUUGAUUUCGUGGUUAGAAAAGUUCGAAAUAAGUUGAAUGGGUGGGAAGGAAGGAAGCUAUCUUUGGCUGGAAUAAUUUCGUUGGUAAAAUCUGUAUUGCUUGCUAUUCCUAACUGUUUCAUAAGCACAAUUCGAAUUCUUGUUUCUAUAAGUCGUGAAAUUGAAAAUUUAGCUCGUAAUUUCAUAUGGGGAAUGACAUUGGGGUCCAAGAAACCAAAAUUAGUGUCUUGGGGGGAUUGUUGUUGACCCUUCGAGUCUGAGGGUCUUGGACUCAGAAGCCUUGUUGAUCAGAACAUAAUUUUUUUUUGUUUGGGUUUCCAAAUUCCCACUAAUACGGAAGCUUUGUGGGUGUAAUUAUUGAGAAACAAGUAUAGUGUACAACUGGUGUUACCAAAGCCAUAGCAAAGAGUAAUUGCUCUUAUAUUUGGAGAUCUUUGAUGAAGGUAUGGUCGGAUGUGAUUGCCAAUGUUUUCUGGUAUUUAGGGGACGAUUGACUUACAGAAUUUUGGAAUGAUGUGUGGGUUUGUCAAGUUGGUCAACUUAGGGGCUUUUGCAUAGGUAUUGGGCAGCCAGAUAAUACUUUACGUGUUUGUAGCUUGGUGAAUAGUAAUAGGGGUUGGGAUUGGCCUCAGUUACACAAUUUGCUUCCUAAUAGUGUCGUUAAGCUCAUUGUAGUAUGGUUCCAUCAUCCACUGAUGCAAGAUUGGAUAGGUUAGCUUGGAAGUGGAUGUCUAAAGAUAACUUUUCUAAUGCUGAAAUGUAUAGGAGUAUGUAUCAACAUGUUCAUGGUGAAGGCUUUAAUUGCUAGAAGUUAAUAUGGAAAGCUAAAGCGCCUCAACGAGUGUGUCUUUCUCUAGGCAUUUUGGCAGGAUAGGCUACUGAUGAAUGGUGAAAGACAUAUGAUUAAUGAGGGACACUGCCCUAGAUGCGAUGAGGUGUUAGAGUUAGGACUCCAUGCUAUUAGGGAUUGUCCUUUCUCAAGAACGGUAUGGCAGUUAGUGGUGCCAAAACAUGUUUAGAGUGCGUUAUUUUCCUUGUCGCUUAGUGACUGGUUGCUAUGGAACUUAAUGAGUUCAAGGAGAUAGAGGUUUAAGGAAUUUGAAUGGCAAUCCCUUUUCUCCAUGUUAUGUUGGUUGCUAUGGAAGAAUCAUAAUAUUUAUGUUUUUGCUAAUAGUAAUAACUAUGUACAAGGACUUGUAGAUAUAAGUAUUAUUUGGGCAAGGAGCUAUGCAAAAUUGGAUUCAAUCUGGCCUCAACCAAAUCUUAUGGUGUCAGCUAUAUGGUGGUCACCACCGGAAAAAGGGUGAGUUAAACUCAACACGGAUGGAGCUAUGUCGUACAUUAGAAAUUAUGCUUAGGUGGGAGGCAUGUUUAGAGAUGUUAAUGUGAGAUGGUUGUGUGGUUUUGAAUGCCAGUUGAUAGAGAAACAAAUUUUCAAGUUGAAGCGCGUGCCAUGCUUGAAGGAUUGCUCAUAGCAUGAGAGAAGGGAUUCAGGCAAUUAGAACUAGAAUGCAAUAACACGCUUCUAGUGGAGACUCAGCUAGCUGUGUAACAGCCCGAUUUUGGGUCUAGAUGGAGCAGUGAUUUCGGGACCACAAAUCCGACAAGGAAAAAUUUAUUUUAAAAUUAUGACAUGGGUUGCAUUAUGAUAGGAAGGUUGCAUAAAAAUACUGAUAUGAAAAUUUUAUCGAUUUAGUGAUUAAUUAAGGAAAUGACCUAUUUGUAUAAAAUGUAGAAUUUGAAUUCUAGAAGCUAGAAGGGUUAAUUAGCUAUGAAAUUGUAAUACCCCGAAAAUUACUACAGUAAGAAAGUAAGAUAAUAUCCCUGAUAUGGUGAAAUAAGGAAAUAAAGUGAUAAAAAGGGUAAUUGAGUUAUGUCAACAUUGGAAAGUAUAUUAUGACAUAUUAAUUCAAGAAAGGAUUAAAUUGCAAAAGUGAGAAAAGUUUUGUUACCCAAGAGUAAAUACUCAAAAUUUGAGGGGUUAAAGUGUAAAUAUGAAAAAUUUGAAGGACCAAUAGUGUAAAUAUUUUAAGGGUGGAAUAAUCUAGAAACUAAGGAAGAUGGAUGAAUUGGGACCAAAUUGAAAAGAUGAAGAAUUAUGAGGGACUAAAUUGUAAUUUUACCAAAUUAAGUGAUGACUCAAGGAUGAAAUUUUAAAAGAUCUAAAGGGCAAAAUGGUCAAUUAGAAGAAAGAGAAAUCUAGAAAAUAAUGAUGAUGUUGGAGAUAUUUUAGAUUAAAUAAAUAAAUAUUAGUUUAUUAAUAUUUUAAUUUGAUUUUUAAAUGAUAUUUUAUUAUUUUAUUUAGUGUAUAUAUAUGGAAGAAAAGAUGAAGAAUCAUCAUCUUCUUCCCCAUGCAACUAACGUAUGAAGAGAAAAGAAAGAGAGAAACUUUCUUUUCUUUACAAUUUGGUCCUUUUACCAAAAAUUCACCAUUUUCACUUAGAAAUCAAAAGAAUUUCCAUAUUCAUCAAGAGAGAAAGAUAACAAGGAGACUAUGGGGAGCUAGAAUAUCAAGUUAGAUUCAAGAAAUAGAAGUUGGAGGAGGGAGAAAAUCAAGUUAAAGAUUGAAAUCAAUGGCAUAAGGUAAGAACAUCAAGAUUUUUAUAUACUUUUGAGUUUGAUAUUAUUGAAAAAGUAGGAAAUUAAUGUUAAGGUAGAGUUUCAUUAUAUAAGGUUCUAUAUUCUUGUUAUGUUAGUAAAGGGAAAUAAGAGAAAGUGAUGGAAAAUAUUGAAGAGAAAGGAAAUGAAAGUGUUAUAAAUUUAGUUAUCAACAUUUUACACUAAAACAGUUUUGAGACAGCAGCAGUAGUCUGAUUUUGAAAAUCUAUCAAAAAUCGUAUAAAUGGAAUUAGAGGAUAAAAAAAAUAUUAAAUUAAAGCUUAUUGAAUCUAGUUUCUCAUAAAAGAAACGGUGUAAGUAAUGAAAUUGUAAAUUAUGAGAUAUAAUAGGUUUUGUGAGAUAAGGUCAGAAUGAUUUCGGGUUCCCCUAUACUGACUUUGGAAAAUAAUAAAAAAUUGGAGAAAAAUAAUUAGAGACUUAAAUUUAUAUUUUUAAAUACUUAAUUAGUCUAUUUUCAAUAUAAACAAAUGGUAACAUCAUUAGAAUUCUGUACGAGGAGAUAAUUAAUUUUUAGUGAAGAAGGGUCGGAACUGUCAGACAGCAGAACAGGGAUGAUUUUAAAGAAUAAACUGUACUUAUUCGAUAAACCAAAAAUUCUGAAAAUUUUAUGGUAAGAAGAUAUUUUAGUCUAGUUUCAGAUAAAAUUAACGGAUCUUAAUUUGGAGUCUUUUAGCUCAAGAUAUAAAUAAUUUAGUGACUAUGACUCAAGUGGACAGCUUUGAAUGAAUAUAUAAGUAAAUGGUGAAAUUAUAGAUAAUGUUACCUAUAAGCAUGUUAUAUACAUUAAGGAUGUGGAAUGGAGAGGAGGAGGAGGAAAAUAUAUGAUUAUUCAACUAGCACUAGUUUUCAUUAAAAAUGACCAAUUUACAUGUUUUAGGUUCAGGGACUAAAUUGAACAAAUGUGAAACUUUAAGGGUAAAUUUGUAAAAAUAUCAAAAAGUAACUAAAUUGCAUGAAAUGAAUUGUUUUAUUAUUUAAAUUAGUAAAUUGAAUGAAAUAUUAAUUUAGAUCAAGAUUGGGUGGAAAUUCGAGAAAAUAGAAAAUUACCAAAAUGUCCCUAAAUUUUGGUAUUUCUACAAUUUAGCCUGGUAAGUUCGUAUGAACUAUAUUCUGUAUAAUUUUAAUUAAAGUGAAUGUUAUUUGAUGAUUAAUAUUAUAUAGAUAUGUGUUUUAUUAUUGAAAUUGAAUUAUUAUUGGUAAUAUGUACAAUUAUUAGAUGCAGUGAGAUGAUUAUCGGAAGCUCGAUUGUGGUUGGUAGGAAAUGUUGCAUUAUUUAUAUUGUGAAGAAUUAUAAAAGCAUGUUAAUAAUUUGAAAAUUUUAAUAAUUAAUGGAAUUUUAUAACUUGAUUCAAUACGUUUACAAGUGUAUGUGUUCUGGUAAUGCCUCGUACCCUAUUCCGGUGUCGAAUAUGGGUAAGGGGAGUUACAAGCUGGUGGAGCUGGCAAUAGUAAUUUGAUGGAGCUACAUUUAAUUAAUUGCCUUUUCAGAUGAAAUUGGAAGAUAAGACUUUGUCAUAUUCCAAGGUCUCAAAAUGCAGUUGUUAAUCAAAUGGCCAAGUACGUGAAUAAUGGUACACCGAAUUUAUUGUUAUUUGUGGAUCCACCAAGUUCAGUACAAGGGGUUUUGCCGUUCAAGAGUAAUGCAUUUACACGAGUUUGAUUGUUUCAAUGUAACUGCUUAAUGUUGUUCCUUUCUACCAAAAAAAAAAAAUCUAGAUGGGAUAAGAAAUCAAUGACGUUCAAGAACUCAUAAAUUAUAGACUAUAUUAAAAUAUACAAAUUAAAUAUUUAAUUACUAAAUUUUAUAAAGACUUCUUUUCAUUACUAAUAAAACAUUAAUCAAUUAUACUUGCAUUUUAAAUAUGGAUAGGAUAAAAAAAUCAAUGAGGUUCAAAAAAUAAUAGAUUAUAAACCAUAUUAAAAUAUAUAAAUAAUUAUCUACUUAUUAAGUUUUACAUAUACAAUUUUUUUUUUCUUUUACUAAUAAAUCAAUUAUACUUACAUUACGUUUUAAAAUCUUUAAUUACCUGAUUAAUUAACAAAUCCAAUGGCAAUAACAAUUAUCUUAUAAAUGUAAUCUCAAUUUGUAUACAUUAAAUUAUAAUUAAUUAUAAAACUCUAAUUAAAAUAAAUUAAAAAGUUCAUAAAUUUUCUAUAUAAAUGGAAGUAACAACACGUAUAGCUCCCUCUCACAAAAAUCUGCAGGCAUAAAUUCAACAAUUACUAACCUUAUACUCUUUUUUGGAUUGUUUUUCUUACUUUCUGCGAAAGUGAAUUUUAAUGUUUAUGGGUGAGGUCGGGUUAGAUUUGGAUCGGAUCGGACUCAUACUAGGUAUUUAAAUUAAUUUUUUAAGUUCAGGUCCAGCCCACUCUAAAAAAUAGAUUUACUUUUUUUGUCCAAGCUUGAUCCAAUUUAUGAAAAGUAAACUCGGGUUCGACUCGACUAACUCAUACUUGAUUUUUUUUAAAUUAAUUUUUUUUUAAAAAUGUAAUACACUAAAUGCAUUAAGAAAAUAUUAAAAUAAAAAUUUUCUAAAAAUUUAAAAAUACAUUAAAAAGUAUUUUUAUUAAAAAAAUAACUAUAAUAAAUAUUUUAUUGCAUUAAAUAUAAUUUUUAAAACUUUAUAUUUUGGGUUGAGUUAUUUAGUUGGGUAAAUUUUUUUUAGAUUUUGAGUAAUAAAUUUAAUUGUUAUUAGAUUAAUUAUUUAAUAUAAAUAAAUAAAAUUAUUAUUUAACAUGUAUAAUUAAUAUAAUAUUAUUUUAUAACAUAAUAUAUUCGGACGAGGCCGGUCAAGCUCAGGCCAAAAGAUUUGCCCAAAGCCAGCCUAUAUAGAAAAUGAGCCUUAAAUUUUAUACAAGUCUAUUUUUCCAGCCUCGUAUUUUUUCUAAACCCUCACAAUUUCGAACGGAUAUUUAGACCAGGAUGGUAACCCAACCAAUAAGCAGUUCUAAUCAUAUCAUUUUUCAAGUCAUUAUUACUGUUGUUAACUCUCUUUUUUUUUUUUGUCUGUCUUAAUUUCUUUUUCAAAAUUAUAUUUUAUGAUUUUCAAUUUUCAUUUAUAUAUAGCAACUUUUAUGAGACUUAUGAGAGUAAAUAGGAUCAAAAUGGAUUAUGAUAAAUUUUUUACUUUAUUUUAAUUUAUAUAUUUUGAUUUUGAUUUGAUUGUGUUAUAAAUAUUAAUUACAUUUAUAGAUUUUGUUAAUUGCCUUCGAGUGUUUUUUAACUUUGUUUUUUUUGGAAGUUAUACUUUGUGAUUUUUUGAAUUAAUUGUGUUUUAAAUAAUUUUUUUGUAAUUAAAAUUAUUUUUUUAACAACAUUUUACUAUCUUCUAUAAGUUACAUUUUCUAGAUUUCAAAUUUUUAUGGAAUUUACAAUUUUUUUGCUGAAUAUAUAGAUUUAAUUGGGUUUGUAUGAAUAUAUAGAUUCAGGUAUUUUUUAAAAGGAUAUUGGAAUAUGAGUAUUUAUAAAAUUUUAUUAUAAUACAUUAAAUUAAUAAUUUUAUUUUAAGUGUUACCAUAUUUAAUUAAAAUUAAAAUCCAUUUAAUUAUAACAAGUUACAAUUCAAUGUUUUAAUGUACAUUUAGUACUUUUUUUAACUAAAGCUUUUUUUUUUUAUAGCAAUUUCAAUUUAUUGUCUGAAACGUAUAAAUAAAGAUUUAAUUAAUAAGUUUCAUGUAGAUUUUUUUUUCCAUUACUAAUAAAACAUGAAUCAUGUACCAAAAGAAAAAUUAAUCAAUUAUACUUACACUUUAAAUAUAAAUAGAUAAGAAAUCAAUGAGGUUCAAGAAAUUAUAAAUUAUAAAUAAUAUUGAAAUAUAUAAAUAAAUAUUUAAAAACUAAGCUUUACAAACACUUUUUUUUUUCUUUACUAUAAAACAUUAGUACUUUUCCUUUUAUCAUUAAUUAUAAACUUUUUAAUGGUAGACUAUAUAUAAAUAAAUCUACAAAUUUUGGCAGAGGAUAGUAAUAAUAACAAAAUUUAACCAAACAAGUCAAGAUUGAAAUUUCAAAAUUUAAAAACAACAAGGACUAAAUUUGACUAAUUUGAAAAGUAUAAAAACUAAACUUGAAUAAAUUGAAGUAUAGGGAUUAAAUCCACAACUCAAAAGUACAGGAACUUAUAGCAGAAUUUGACCCCUCUGAAAUAUAGGGAAGUUUGCAUUGCAUAUCCAAGCCCUGCCUCUUCCUGUUCUGGAUACAGGAGAUAUCCAAUGUCUCUAAAAGAGACGAUGGCUAACCAUAGAUACAAAUCUGCAUCUAUCAAUGUUUCCUCUAAGAAUAUCGAAAUAUAUAUAUAGAUAUAUAGAUAUAUCAUUAUCACUCCUGGUUCUGCUUUGGCACAUCGCGUCGCCAAAUUCCGGCCAAUAUACUACCAAAAAUUGAGUGGCAUACACUGGACACCGCACAUGGUACUGCCGUCAGUGGAUUUUGGAAGUGAUGAGUAGCAAGAAAAACUCCGAGAACCGAGUUCUGAAACAUCAAUGAGUUGAAUUAAGGAUCAAGCAAAUGAAUAGAACACCGACAAAUCAUCCACAACAUGCUACCACACUAUUAUUUUUCAUGUUAAACAACUAGGAUCAUUGUUUUAAAUGUUCUAACAAUAAUGCAUGGAUAGUGCCUGGAUGAACCAAAUAGAAAGUAUGUUCUUUGAAAUCGAACUGCUUGAAAAAGUAUGCGUACCUGCAUGCCAACCUCAAUGGAGAUCGUUCGUGAUGAAGCCACAUCAAGCCGAAGCAUCCGUGAAAGGACAUAGCCAAAGAAAAAUCCAGAUGCGUGAAGAAGGGAUGAAGCUAGCACAACUUGUAGACCAGAUGCAAGAAUUGCGGAAGAACUUUCGGCAAUUGCAUUUCCACAUAGAACACCAACAGUUCCGACAGCAAUGCUUGGCAUCAAAGGAGAAACAAAUUUAACGAAGCCAUGGAAAUACUGAUUUAGGAAUGCACCACCCAAUACAGGAAGAAGCACAACCUGGGGUAAUAGUCUGGUUAAGUACUAACCACAAGGAAUGAACAAUAUUUGGAGAAAAGAAAAGUUAUGCGACAAAAGAAUUCACCUGCAGUGUUGAGUUUAGCAGUGCAGCAGCAUCUACUGGAACAUAUUUCCCAGCCAGCAUGCUUGUGAGAGAGGGGGUCAUAAUCUAAAGAAUAAAAAAUAGCAAUAAGAAGAGAGAUUAAUUGAUGCAAUGUCAACAAUAUAAUCCUAAGAAGGUAAUCCGACAGAGUACUAAAAAUCCUACCCCCCCCCCCACAAAAAAAAGAAGUAUUCAUCUUAAUAAAUUCAUGUCAAUACUCUACUCAAUCGGGAUUCGAUGCUGCUUAUCACAUAAUAUCCUGGAUGGUACUUAGAAGAAAGGUCAUUGAUGUUUCCCAAGUUCUUAAAAAGGCCAAUGUAAAAUAGAACUCAAUUUAACAGUAUCUAAUAUUUUUUUUUCAUGUCUUUCAUAAAAUGGGAACUCAAACCAUAUUGCAUCACAAAAACAUGACAAAAAUUGUGGAAUCAAAUAUUUACUCAUAAUUCAGCACUCCCCUACGUACGAUCGAUGGUCAUCAAUCAAAAAUAUUGCCCGCACAAGUGGAUGGUACGGUUGAGACAUAGUCAAUAUGAGAAGGUUGAUUGAUCUUUUUUUAACACCUAUUAAAUAAGAAAGACAAUAUGAGGCAAAGUUCUGGUUUACCAACCACAGCAGAUAGAGUGCUUGCAGCGGUCAUCAACACGGAAAGUGCCACAUUUCCUCUGGGAGAUAGAAACAUCAUCAGAUGUUAUCAGGCAAAAGCAUCAAUAAUUAAAGAAAAAUGAAUGAUACCGAUAGACAAUUUUUUUUAUACCGGGCAAGAUAUGUGACAAUGUUACUUGCUGUACCUGAAAUGAAAAAAGGAAAAUGCAGCACUAUCAAGAGGAAGACUAGGAUGGAGAAGUGAAGUAUUAUAUUAUACAAUACUUGCAAAGAGUGACUAUAAGCUUACCACCAGGACAGCAACCAACUAAUAUUAAACCAGCUGCAUAGUGAGAUGGCAAAUUUAAGAGCUUGCUAACGAAAUACCCAGAUAAAGGCAUAACCUGCAACAAGUUACCCAUAUAUAAAAGUAACAUGAACUGCUAUGAUACUCUUGCUUACACAUACCCAAAGUUAUUGCCAGAGUCGGAUUUCAUAAGGUUAUUUGGAAACAAGUAUAUGUAACUCAACAAAGAAAAAUUAUAUAGUUCAACAUAAACAACUAUAAGUUAAGAAAUACAAACCGAAUAUUGGAGUACAAAACCAGAUAUCAACUCUUUAGGCAUAGCAAGGGCACCACGAAGAUCAUCUAGAGUAAGAGUCAUACCCAUACCAAGCAUAGUAAGAGUAAGACCAAAAAUACUCCAUCUGGGGGUAACCCAGCUGAAAGAACUUGGCUUGAACAGUCCAAGUAGACAUCCUAAAGAAACCCAUAGCGGGAAUGCAGUGGAAAUCACUUCACCAACCCACUCAAUCCAAUCUCUGACACUUUUCUUGUUGUUAGCAUUGUAACUGUUUGAUGAAAUGCCGCAGUGAAUUUGAAAACGAUUGGAAGUCAACGAAUUGAUGGGUCUAUUGGGUAGUUGUUUGUGGGAUUGGGAUCUUAGUGUCAAGCCAAAAGAUGAUGAAUUGGAAGGUCUGGGAAAUGAAAGUAAGAGAUUAGGGUAUGAUAGAUAAGGGGGUCUUGGUUUCUCUAGAGAUUUGAAGUAUGUUGUUGUUGCAUGAGGGCAUGGAAGUGAGGACUGCAUUUCUUGAUUUGCUUCGCCGUUUUUCAGUUCAGUUUUUCUUUCCUUCCUCAGAAAGGUCCUGUGUAAAUAUUAUUAAAAGUUUGGCUGAGAUCUCAAUUCAUUUAUAAAGUAAAUGUCACAUAAUCGAGUACAGACAUAUAUAAUAAUGACAUGUUUUUUAAGAUAUAUUUAAAAUAUAAAAAAUUAAAUACAUGACACACAUAUCAUCAUCUUAAUUUUAUAUUUAAAAUUUAAAAAUAUUAAAUAAAUGAUACACAAGUCAUCACCUUAACCUUGUCUAUGAAUUGUUUUUCUUUCACUUGAUAAUAAUGGUAUUAUUUUUGCUUUUAUAGAUAUUUUAUUGUACUCAACAACCAUUAAUAUUUGAAGUAUAAUCAAAUUAAUAGUACCCAAAGCAGAAACUAAAAGGCAGAAUCUGACAAACUUUUAGCACCUUUUAGGUGGUUUAUUGCAUUUUACAAUUUAGUACAUAUAUAUUAUAAAUUACAUUAUAUAAUAAAAAUAUAAUAAAAUGGUCUAAGUUGUUAAAGAAUAUCAUGGUAUGACUUCUACUUUAGGACCUAGAACUUUUCUUUUUAAGAAACUACUAAAAUAGUUAUUUCCCCAGAUCUAAGCUUUUACGAGCCAUAAGUAGAUCUGUAGUCUCUGCAUCAACAGCUAGAAUCAUUGGAGAUUAAAGAGCAAAUCCAGUGCUUCAAAAAUGGUGUUAAUGUAUGAGUAUCAAAGAACAGGACCCGAUUUUUUAUAAGAUGUAAACAAGAAGCCCUGAAUAACCUAUUGAAGAUCAGAAAGUACAUGUAAAGUUAUAGUUGAGCUUGUAUAUAUAUAUAUAUGCUUUUUAUUCGCAGAGGCAGUAAAAAUCACAGUUUAGGUGAUUUUGAUGAGAUGAGUGGAAACUGGCAAGGAAUAAACAAUGAGAUUGCUCUGUUCUGUCACCGAUGUGCCACCCAUGGCACAUUACCAGGUAAGAACUGAGCCUUCAACUCAGCGUUCAGCAGCUCCCUGGUUCCAAUUGAGCACUUCCCUAUGCUAAGCUCCUCCGGUGCCUUCCAGAGUCAGCCGCUUGCCUAUGGGGGCAAUAAACUUUUAGCAGAUAGACAUUGCAGGGUUAGAGGUUGAGCUGGUAUAUCAGCAAAAAGGACAGCUAGAAUUCAUCAUCCAUUACAAAUAUUAGAUAGCUUAAUCUCAGGAAGAUUUCAUAGGUUUACGCAGAGUCAGGGUUGCUUAGAAAACUACAAUGAGUAAUUUAGGGGAUGCACAGGCCUAUUCACAAUCUUCAAUAAAAUAAAAGUCUAGCCAGCUAUAAUUAUUAUUAUUGUAGAUUACUCAUCAUUCAAAAAGCUGCAGAAGGAGAGACACUAUCUACAUUAUCAACCAACCUGCUCUUGCUCAUAGAGGCUGAAUCUUAUAAAACUACAUAUUUAAUUAGCUUCUAGGACCUUUGAAUGAUAUACAUAUAUCCCAAACCAUGAAAUAUUACUGUGCUAGCUAAAAUAUGAUAACUCUAUCUAAAAGAGUUAUUUGGUCAAAUUUUGUGCAUUUGAUUUAGCUGUCCUUAAAAUUCAGAUUUAUUAAUAUCUAGCAGUUUUUAUGUUGGUUUUAUUUCUUUCUUUCACGAUUAAAUUAGGUAAUAACUUUUAAGUUAAUUUUUUUUUUAGGUCCAAAGCAAGAAGGAGCUUCCAAGGUGCGACAAAACAACAAAGGAGCAAAGCAGAGAAAACAGCAAGUCCGGCACUGCAGCACCAACAUACCUCAUGGAACUCAGACAUCAACGGAUAGUUGCUGAAGCAGACAAUUUGCUGGGUACAAGUUUGUAAACCUGAAAUAGAAAGAAGACAUAUUAGUAUAUAAGUAGCUAGAUAAAGUAAUACAAAUGUGCAAAGCAUAAAUACUUAAAAAAAUAGAAGUUGAAAACGAAUAAGGCAUGCAAUUGUUGAACAAGUAGGGAGUGUGGAUAAGAUAAAAGAAAAGAAGAGGGAGAAAAUAACAAUCAAGUAUCAAGAUAGAUAGCACCACAUCUUAUUUCCUUAAAUCUAAUAUGAAAAUGACCAGUUAAAAUUUACAUAUUUAACUGAAUACUACCAGAAAGCCCAGAAAGCAGUCACCUAAGUCCUUGAUAGUUGAUAAAACAAUAGCAUAUAACAUAAUUGCGUAUAACUAGGUCUGGCAAGGAGGGCAGAAGAAGAGAUAGAAUAUGAAGACAAUAUCAAAUAUCAUGCUCAGAUGCCACAAACAGCUUCUGCUGUAGCAAACUAAUAGGUGCUCUUUCCAAAAGAACGGUGAAUGCCCCUUGAUCUACUUGGAAAAGGAUAAAUAAGUAAUCCUCUAGCAAAAGCAAACAAUUUUCAUGAAGUUUUUUUAAAUUCCAAAUCCAUGAAGGGGACUAGUCUUGUGAUACGACAAAAGACAAUCCAAUUUAAGGUGUAGCUUUAUUUUUACCUACAGUAAUUAAACCAUGUAAGAUGGCAGACACUUGGGGCCAUUUUAACUUCUUCACAAUGACCUAGCAAUGUAAUACCAAGAGCUCAAUCAGAAAACAUAGCCUUUACUUUCCUACUUGGUAUUACUUAUCCUGCUCUACUUCUACAUGAUGAAUAACUUAAUUCUUUAAUUCUUUACCAAAAAUCCUUUGAUCACCCCCUCCUAGAGUUUGCCUCUCCAAUUAUGUUUCACGCAUUCUUUGCUACUGAGACGAAAGUGAGAUUGCCUACUACAAUCCACAUUCAAGAAUCAUAAAUCAAGCCUGCUACCUUUUACGUAACAGACCAAAUAAACUAAAGAACCAUUCACUUGCUAAUAGGUAUCGCUUCAGAAAAAUAUUGCAAAUAAGCAAUACAGAGCAUAAUAUGUACUCUGAAUAGCUUCAACAGACAAAUCAUAAAACCAUCACCACAGCUAACACAAUAUACUUUCUCAGUAUGAAAAGAAUAAGUACAAUAAUAUAGGAGUGUCAAAAGGCAUUUUCAACCGUGGAUCACAACACCAGACAAAAUUUUAGCUAACAAAAAUCGUUUCGCAAACUAGCACAACUAACAAUGGAAAACAAAAAGGAAAGCAUUUCUCAGAAAUUUACAUCACUUACUUGACCAGAAAAACCAUCUUGCAUCAUCAUUGAUGGCCAUUUCUUGGCAAUAUGUCGCAUACCUAUGCAAUGAAUAAGCUUCUUCCAGCACUUAAGUCACAUUUUUUUCAAAUCGAACAAGACAUGGAUGAUAUCCCUUAAAAAAGCUCAAGUUUCUCUUGACCUCACUUUCACGUAAUAAAGGCAUUGAUGAGGUAUUUACAACCCAAGACAAACUCCUCUAUUCUCAAUAAUUUACUUCACUGUUGAACAGUUUACAUUUCAGCAAUUUAACAGUCCCCGCGGCAACUACAACAAUGAUUUACAUACGGUAACAGACAACGGCCUUCUACUUCAGAUGAGUAAUCCACAAAAAUCCAUCUCAUUGUAGUAGACCAGUAGUAGCAUGAGAGAGACAAUAGAGAGAAGAAAGGGAGUAGAUUGCACACAAACAUAAAAUAACGUAUAAAUCUGUCUAAGACCACAGAGUCCAAUAAGCUCUUAAAACCAAGUAAUAGCUAACUUAUUCCAGCAGCAAUCACAGCUGAAUUAAUAUUCAAAUAUAAUGAAUUGAGAAAGAAACAGACUAGUAAUCACAGAAGGAACAAAAUCCAAAGACUAGCCAAGUACUUGUCUUAGAUCAUUGCUCUAAGACCAAAAGGCAAAUGGAAAGCAUAAAGGAAGAAAGAAAAGGGAAGAGAACGAAAUAGGACAAACUUUUAAAUAGAAAAUUAGUUAGUCAUAGAGCAUCUGUUUGACAAUUAGGCAUUUUUUAUGUUUAACCAAUGGAAAUUGAAUACUCAAAUUAUGGAGAAAAAAGAAAUAAUGAUAAAUGGCAUAUACACACAAAUGGCAGCAAUUUUAUUUUAAAGGUGAAGAAGAGAAGAAGCUGCAAUACCAGCGAAAGCACCAAUGCUUCCAUGAGGCAACACUAGAUGUGAUGUUAAAUCAAGAGUGAAGCCAUUAUGAUAAUGGACACAACCAGUCCAAGAAACCAGAGAUAUAAAGAAUAUAUAACUUACUGUUAGAGAGACAAAUACAUACUAUGAAAUCCUAAAGCACAUAGUCCCUCAAUCGUAAAAUGGAAAUCCUAUCUGAAUGCUGACAUACAGUCUACAAAUUUGGAAGUCCCAGAAAGUUUAUAAGGUCAUAUUCAUGACCUGCUUUAUUGCCAUGUCAUUCUUAAAUUAUCUAUCCAAUAACCCUAUUAUUUCUGGUAUCCCCCAUGACACUAAGUUCAAUGGAAGUUGGUUCUUUUGCUAGCCUCGUCUCAACAGAAUCUAAUCCUAUGAUCUGGAUCCCAGUUCCAAUAGGUAAGAUAUUCAAAACUGAAGACAUAUGCCAGAAGCAAAUAUAAACAAAAUUUCACAUAUUUAAAGAAGAGUUCGUAUAAUCUGUUGAGUUGCUGCUUUCAACUUCACAGGAAGUCAAGUAUCAGGAAGAAGUGCUAGGAUGUUUCUCAUCUUUCAUAAAAUUUGAAAAGAAUGAAAAUUCAACACAAGAUGUUACUUAUUUAUCAAAACAAGGGUAGUUUUUCUUUACACUCGGGAUGCAGUAUUCAUACAGUUUCAUACAAAUUCCAGAGAACAAAUUUCAGGAAAUAUUCAUAAUAUAUAUAUUGAGGGGUGGGGGGGGGGGCAUCAUAUAGGCUGUAAAUCAAAGGGGGUUAAAAAAACCAUCAGAUGAUGAGAGAAGCCAGUCAAGCAUAAGUGGUACAGAUACAAUAGUGGUCCAAGCAAUGGAGGCCAGAGGGUGGCCAUUGUGAUAAAGUAUGAUCUCACUCUCCUUUAAAAAUCUCUGAGAAAGGUAGCAAUGAUCCACAAAAAAAAGAAGGGUCACAGUCCUGAAGAACUGCUCUAGUGUCCAAGGUGACAGACUUUGUAAAAGAAAUCCUAAAAGCCAGGCCAGUUGAAACCAGAUAAAACUAGUAAGGAAGCUACCUGUUCUGACAUUUAUAGGGAAUGUCAGGUGUCAGCUAGUUGCUCUUACUUGUAUCCUAGAAUUUCCCAAGGCACAUAUAUUUGUCCCUAUUCAGUCUAGCAAUGGAUAUAUUUUUCCAACUAAGACUGUUGCCAUCAUAUCCCUCACUAGUUCUAUAGUUGGCAUCACAUGUAACCUCUGUAAGCUGGAUCUGCCAACAUUAAAAGAACAUAUCUGACUUUGACAUUAUUUUGCACGCACCCCCCUCAUUGAUCCACGCUGUGCAUAUUGUGGAUUGGGAGCAACAUUGUGCUCCUUUUCAGUGUAAAUCCUAAAGUUUGGCUCCACUCUUACCACAACAGAACCUAGAGUUUCUGUAUAUAUAAGCAACAAUACAAUCUUGCAAAAUGUUUUAAGCCUACUUCUUGCAUAAAUGGAUAAGCUGCAGAAAACCUUGCGAUCACAUCUUUUGCAGGAAAAAGUUGCUAGGAUAUUCUUCUAUCAUCUUAUUCUCAGUUAAACUCAAGGGUUGGACAAAACUAAGCUUCAAACUAGAUAACAAAUGUAAGCACUUCCACCUAAUACACAAAAACUAAAUAGAAAUAAUAUAGUAAGACCCAGAAAUAUAAUCCUACUCAAACAGGAACUCUGGAACCAACGCCAGAGGCAUAUCUAGCUUAAAUGAAAUUUACUGUAUACCCGUUGAUUGGAAAAACUCUAGAGAACACAAAAUGAAUAAAUAAAUGGCACAGGAACCAGAGAAAGAAAACCAAAACAGAAAAUAUUAUCUAGAAAAAAGAAGUAAACGUCAUUCAAUGAGCUGAAAAUCUGUUCUUUUUCAUUUCUCAAUUCGUUUUUCUGUAAUAGAGCAUGCAUCACCUUAAGUUUGCAGUAGAAUAGACCGAGGACCUGAUAAUAAAGGCAAUGAUGAUUAAUCUUCAUAGUACAAAUAGAUGAAACUAAAACCCCUUGCCAGUUUGCACAAUCUAUAGAUGUAACCUCUUAAGGAACUCCAUGGGAAAUUAACAAAGCAAAGGUGCAUGAGUAUAGCAAGGCUGCCUAACUAAGGUGAAAAAGCAACGGAAAGACAACUACCAAAUGAACUAUGAAGGUCAGCUUAGAUGUAAUACUAAUCUUUAAUGGAAGAGGCCCAAGAGAAAACAGAAGAAAAAACAAGCUAGAAAAGCUGGCUAAAUUUUAUCAAUAUUUUGCUAAAUUGAGCCAGACACUGAAGAGUAGUCACUCUUCUGCAAAUAAACAGAAGAAGCACAACCGAACAACUCCAUAUUCCAUGAGAAAUGGAAGAGGAAGAAGGAGCAGCAGCAGCAUAUGUGCUAGUAUUACAGGAAUCCAAUGAUUCCUAUUCUUCAAAAGCAAACAUCUACCUCAAAAAGGCAUGGCAAGGUCUUGUCCACAUAAUGAAUGAUGAAACUCAAAUUUCAUUAAGAUAUCUAAGAAAAGAAAAGUAUCAAAUUGAAAUGCUGUAUCACAAAUCAACUGAGAAAAUAUAUGCACCAGACAAUAUCAAGCAGACAACAGCAUACUGCAACUUUUAAGCAAAUAUAAAUAAUGUUUUUAGGUACAAUUCCAGAACACCCAUCAUAUUAUAAAUCGUAAUAGCUCAAAUCCAAGCCUAGAUAACUAAUAAGUUGCCCAGAAGUACCAGAUGAAUCAUCUUAGCAUGAUUUGGAAAAUCAAACUAGCGAUGUCCUUGAGCUCUCUGCAUGUCAUAUGCACCCCAGGAACCAGAAGCAGGACCAUACUGACGAUAAACAUCCACCCCACCCUGAACCUGUAAUGCAAGGAGAAAAACCAAUCAUUCUUUAAAGAAAAUAAUGGAUAUACAUAAAACUUGCAAAUGUAGCUCACAUGCAAGUCCAUACAAAUCUAAGCAAACACAAAGCAGAAAGUGUUGAACAUGUACAUAAAAUAGCAACUUACAGGAUUCAUGCCAUAGUUGACAUGAUAAGUAUUUCCAGUAUAUCCAGCUUCAGGGUUUCCAUAAUUUGCAUUAUAACCAGAUACAGCUGAAAAUUAUGGACAAAGGAAAUGUUAUUCAUAAACAGAGAAAAACCACUAUUAGUUAGUCUGUUACAUAAACAGAAAAAUCAGGCUUCAUCCAGUACAUCAAGCCUCACAGCUUAAAGGAUAAGACUUACCGGGUGAACUUUCAAACAGCUAACUAGAAUUUAUGGUAAAUAAGACUUACAUCAGGCUUCAUCCACUACUCAUAUGAUAAGACUUACUGGGUGAACUAUCAAACAGCUAACUAGAAUUUAUGUUAAAUAAGAUGUCAAGGAGCCUUAGAUAAAAGAAAAAGAUGGCUUGAGUGAUUAAAUUAGCUCAAACUUCAAAAAAACAAAAGGAUUUAUUUACUUUGUAGUUUGUACGCACUUCAGCAUUGACAGCACAUAUAUCCUCAAGUUAGAAUGAAAACCAACCCAACAUCUACAUAAAAACUUAACUCUCAACUAAAGAUCAUAUCAUAAAAAUAGAAAAGUGAAAAGAGCAGUGCAUGAAACUCAAACAGCAACAUGCUUCCACUGAAAUAAAGUCCACUAUGUUAAAAAAAAACAUGGAUUAAAUAUUUAAAUGAAGGGCCUCCAUACCAGGAUUAGCACCAGUGCCACCACCAGCGCGAGUUCUCUUUUCUGCAUUAGCAACUUCUGCACGAAGCUUUUCCAACUCCCGAGCCAUUGAGAUCAAUUUCUUCUCCAUCACCUGACCAUGUUCAUAAUUUUCCGCAUAUCCUUUCUUCUCAUAUUCAAUGGCAGCUCUAAAGGUCGAGAAAAUCAAACAAAAACCAUCAGAAAACCAAACGCCGUACAACAAUUUAACAAAGGCACAUAUACGAUCGAAAAUAAAUUUUCUAUUUCACUCAAACAAAUAGUUUUCAUUCUCACAAUAACUCUCAUAUGAAAAAGUUUUGAGAAAUGUGAAAAAAAAGUAACUUGUCACCUUGCACGUUGCAAUUCCUGUUUCAAAUUUUCAAUCUCAGCCUUCAGAACAGGAGCCUGUUGCAAUUCCCCAGUAAGUCUUGUCAAAUCUUGACUCAUAACCUGAACCUGACCCGUUAGAUCCUGCUUCACAGCACUAAGCUGCUUAAUAUCACCAUUAACCUUAACAAGCUCAGCUCGCAUAGCCUCCAGUUCACGAAGGUCAGCCUCCAACCGAACCGACUUCUCAUACAUCUCUCUCAUCUGAACAUCCUUCUCCGCCCUCAACGAAUCUGCAUAAUGAGACAUCUGUUUUAACUCAUGCUGAGCAGCCUCCAAUUCCUGCUUUAACGCAACAUGAGUCGCUGCCAGCCUUUGAUUAUCCGCCAGGAGGGCUUGAAUUUCUUGCAAUUGAACUCCAAGACGCUCCUCAAUGAUAGCUGGAUGAGGAGGAAACCCUCUAGGACCCAACACAAAUUGGGGUUCUCUUAUUUCAUCCAGUAAAACUGGGUGUGGUGGCAUUGGUCCUAGGCCUCUAGCAUAAGGAUGUUCGUGCACCGGCGGCAGCAAUCCAGCAUGAGGUGGCCCUUUCAUCGGAAUAGGCGGUGGCCCACGAUUUCUUCCAGACAUAACUAAACUAUCGUUCUUUAAAAUCAAUGUAAAAGUGUACUGAACAGAAUUAUAUAUAAUUUAUAUCAAAUAAUGAAUACAUUCUGAAACCCAAAUAAACAAACAAAUGGAAUUAAAAAGCAGACAAACGUGGCGUUUCAUUACCUGGAAAAUUAAUGAGAAAACAAAAUUCUAAUUGAAAUUUUGCAAUACAAACACUAGAGCUGGCUAUUUGGAGACGGAAGAAAAUUUAGCGAAAAGCAAGAGAAUCACUUAAAAUUCUCGGGUACCAAAAAAGAAAGGGUAUAAACGGGCCAAACUUAAUCAGCUGAUAACUCUGAACUUUUGACCCGUAACUAUUUUAAUAAUUCUCCAGGAAUCAAUUUAAAGGAAGUGAGGGUUUUUUUUUAUGGAAACCAGUAAGACAUGAGAUUUAUAUUUAAUAAAAAUUAAAUUUAUUUAUUAAAUUGUUUAUUCCAUCCUAAAUUAACCAUUAACUAUAGGUAAAUUACACCAACAGUAACUCAACUUUCGAAAAAUAACAAAAUAGUGACGUUAUUGAAAAGUGACAAAUCAGUCACUCAUUAACAUUUUUCGUCACAGACUUAACGGGAUAGCUGAUGUGGCUAGUUAACUAGCUGAUGUGGCCAAUUAACUAGUCACGUUAGAUAAGUAGUCAAAGGGUAAAAAAGAAAAGAAAAGAUGAUUGGUUAAGGGUAAAAAGAAGAAAAAGAGAAAUGGAGAAGAAGAAGAAUGGAAAAUGGAAAAUUACCCAUCGAGUAUAACUGUCGGUGGUGGUGAUCGACCGAAAAAGCAGUAUUAUUUGAGGGAUUGAUUGGGAAAUUUGUUUUCGCUUUCGAUCCACACAGUGCCAUUGUUGCUAUACUGUAAGCUCAAGCCGCUUCUUCGGUGGAAUCAAAAGUACCUAACCAAACCCGAGUUUUUUCCACGGGUUUUGGAUCUCAACUGCAAAUCUACCCCAUUGUCUUUUUCAAACACCUCUGUAUUUGGGUUCUUCUCCAUCAAGGACGGCGGGACCCCUCCCUUUCCUUAUCGAAAAAUAAGUAAAUAAAAAAUGGGAUUUUUUUCAAAUCUCACAAAAGGGUUAUCCAAAAUCAAGUGUAUAAGCUCAAAAUAUUAAAUAAAUGGUAAUAAUUGUUAUACAAAUACAAAGGGGAUUGAUGAUGAAAAAAUCGCAAGAGCCAAAACCCUAAGCAAUGUAAAGGCCAAAACUGCCUAGACAUCUUAGCAAAGGCAAAGUUGUAUCCAAGAACCCACCGAAGGUAACUAGCUUCCUUUGGUUCAAGUUCACGAAAAAGGAACACUCCAUUUUAGCAUGGACAAGGUUGAGGUACGAUGAAUCUAGCUAAAGAAGAGCUUGGGUUUUGAGCUAAAAAUGAUUUAGGGUGUGCAGAUUUCAAGGUCUUGAAUGUGUUGAAAUGUUGCUCGGGGUUAAGUUUUUUUUUGAGUCAGAAUCUUUUGCGACCCCAAAGUUAGGGGAGUCGAAGCCUUCCAACAUUGUUUUACACACUAAGGAUUCAAAUGCAAAGCACUUAUGGCUUUCUUAUGCAAAAACAACUCUAAGUUCAAUGGUUUUAGCAACUGCAUCAAGAUGGUUAUGGUGAGAACCUCAGCGGCCAUGAUGCAGCAGAGGGCGUUGGCCAUGGAGGCGUCGGUGUCGUGGAAGCGUAGUCAUCUUUGAGUUCCCAGAUUUUGACCCUUGGGAACCACUGGUAUGAAGUCCUUCUACUUUCUCUUAUUCUUCUCAUCUUCUUCUCCAUUUAUUCUCUUAUUCUUCUACUGCCCAGACUUCUUAAAUGGGGCUGUUUAAAUGACAACUAGCCCACCAUUAAAUGCCAUGUUGCUUUUCCGUUACGUCUAUAACGUAAAAUGGUUAAAAGGACUGUUUUGUUAAUUUUCAAAAGUUAAGUGACUGGAUUGACACUUGAGUGACUGUUUUGUCAGCUACCCCAAAGUUGAGUGAUUGUUGAUGUAAUUUACCCUUAACUAUAUUAACCAAAUCUUAUAUUUGAUCGAAACACUUAGGUUAUCUUAAAUUACUUUCGUAAUUUGAUAUCUAAAAUUUGGCUUAUUCUAAGUGUUUUUUUAUAUGUUUUUGUUGAUUUUUAGUUUUAAGCAUUAAUAAAUGUUUUUGUUAGUUUUAUGUCAUUUUUGGGAUCCAAAAUAGACAAUCGUGUCAUAAGGAACCUAAUAAUAUGAUUGAGCGGUGUAGGGAAACGAUAAUAACCCGAACUUGAAAAAAUCAUCAUGUUGAAGUGAGGAAAAUUGAGGUCAACUCCAGUGAUAUCGUGAUACUAGAGCCUGGGUAUUGCGAUACUAAGACCCCUAAGACUUCCAAGUUCAAGACUGUUUUGGGUAUCGCGAUACCGCUACUUGAGAGGUGAAAAACUACAGGGCAAUUUUGUAUCUAAAUAAGCUUAUGUUUUUUUUAUUUAAGGGCAUAAUGAUCAAUGUUAAGUUAAAUGUUAUUAGACUAUAAAUACUACUUUAUAAGCUUUUGAUUUCAAAUUUUGUUGGCCAAACAUUUUCUCCUUAGUUUCAUAGUUCUUAAUUUAGGUUUUCAAUUUUUUUUCUCUUCUUUUAUUUUCUUUCUUUUUCAUUCAUUUUUGUUUUUGUUGUAGUUUUUUUAUUUCUUCAUUUUUCCUAGAACAUUGUGGAUGAAAAUGUAUUAAAUGUUUACACUUCAUCGAAUGUGUAACACCCCUAACCCGUAUCCGUCGCCGAAUUAGGGUUACGAGGCAUUACUGAACAAAACACAACCAUUGCAAAAUCAAAACAUAUACAUUGUAUAUAAAUAUUUAAAAUUUAAUAAACUUGAUCUAAUAUUAAAUAUGACAUAUUAUGAGCUUCACUUAGAUCAUUUAAAACAAAAUAAAGACAUUACAAUCCAGCUAAUUGAUAAGGAAAUAAAUCAUUUUCGUAUGACAAUUAAAUUAAAAUACAAUAUAACAAAGUAUGACCUUCAAAACAUUUAUCUAGUCUAUACAUGCCAGAGUUAAAAUUUUAACAUUUUAAUACCGAGAGAGUAGAUAGAGUGAUGAUCUUGCUGACAAUCCUCAAGCUUGAAGCUUGAUCUUUAAAUCUAUAAAAUAGAAAGAUAUAAACAAACAAAGUAAGCUUUUAUAGCUUAGUAAGUUUACAACAUAACCAAAUAUAAAAUAAAUUAUAUAAUUUCCUGCGUACACUUAAUGAAAUCGCGAAUACUACGUAUAUUACCAUUUGAAUAUUGCUAUUCAUAAACAUCUUAUUUAUAACCAAAUAUAUGAACUCAUAGCAUUCAUAUCAAAGAGUACAUAUAUAUAUAUGACAUGCAUAUAAUCAAAUGUAUUUAUAAAUACUCAUCAAACUUUACAACCAAUACAUUUACACAUCAGUUACGUAUAGUCAAAUGCUUACAUAAUUAUCAACAUCUAAGACCGAAUGCAUGUACACUUUAAACAAGAAUAGUCAAAUGCAUAUAUAUAUAUAUGCUUAACAAAGAUUAUCAACGAAUGUAUAUAUAUACAUAUGCCUCAAACAAGUUUAACCGAAUAUAUUCCUACUUACCAAAAAUGCAUUUCACCGUAUAGGUAGAUGCUUAUUAAAUGCAUAUAUAUAUAGAUUAUCACAUGCAUACAUCCGAAUAUAUAUAAACUUAGCAAAUGCAUAAGAACAAAUAUAUAUAUUUAUAUGCUCUUCAAUUACAUAUAAACGAAUGCUUAUAUGCUUAUAUGCUCAUCAACAUCCAAUGACCGAAUAUAUGUACAUGUUCUUCAAAUUCAUAUGACAUAAUUCAUUCGCAUAUACAUUAUAUUUAAACACGUAAUAUAAACAGAUUCACCGGCACUUUGACUGCUAGGUUUAAAACCUGAUUCAGUACACCGAUUUUUGGCCUGCUAGACUUAAAGUCUAAAAUGUUUCACCGGCAUCAAGCCUGCUAGACAUAAAGUUUGAAUUGUUUCACCGGCAUAAAGUCUACUAGACAUAAAGUCUGAAUUGUUUCACCGGCAUCCAGCCUACUAGGCAUAGAGUCUGAAUUAUCUCACUGGCAAUAAGCCUUCUAGGCACUGAGCUUGAAAUCUCAAUUCACAUAAGUUGUAUCUCGUAUUCAAACUAUUUAUGGAUAUAAAUCCAUACGAAAAAUUUAGCUCAAAACUUAUAAUCUUUCUCUUUGAACACAUGGAUAUAUAUAUUUAUAUAAUUUGUAUUAUCAAUUCCAGCUUCAUAACUCAAUGAUUCCACCGAACAUAUUUAUACAUAACCUUAUAUUUUGGAUCCUUCUACUACUAUCAUACUGUUAACUUAUAAUAUACUUAAAUAAUAUACAUUUAACAUUCGAACAUAUUAAAAUAAUCUAAGCUAAUAAUUUCAUACCAUUAAUUCAAUACAAAACUUAUACAUAUGCAUAUGCAUAUACAUUUACAUUCGACCUCAUGUAUACAUAUAUAAUUUCAUACCUAAUUUCAAUUCAAGAAAUUAUACAUGUACAUUUAUACAUAUUCAAAUCUACCAUAUAAAUGUAUAAAUUCAUACUCAAUUUCAAAACAAGAACUUAUACAUAUAUAUAUAUAUGCAUAAUCGAUCCUCAUAUACUUAUAUAAUGACAUAUCUAAAUUCAAUACACAACACAUACAUGUAUAUUUGCAUGCUUAUUCGAAUAUAUAUAUAUACAAUUAUAACAUACAUAUCACAAAUCAAAUCCAAGAGUUUAUACAUAUAUGUACUUAUAUAAUCAUUCGAACCUUAUAUAUAUACAUAUAUCUUAUACAUAUCUUUGAUUAAUCCAAUAAUUUAUACAUGUAUAUACUUAUAUACCAUUUAUACUUUAACUAAAUUUAAAGGUUUAUAUAAGUAUAAGCCUAUAUAUAUAUUCGAACAUUAAUAAUACAUGUAUAUCAUUCAUACUUUAUUUUAUUUCAAUCAAUAUACUUUUAAAUUAAAGUUCAACAAAAAUACAAUACAUUUACAUCCAUAUAUACCGAUUUAAUAACAUUAAAUAGCUAAUAGACUUACCUCGGAUAGUGAAAAAUCGAAACCGGACGAUUUGUCGACGACUUUAGCUUUUCCCAGAUCUAACUCUGAUUUCUUUGGUUCUUGAUCUAAAUAUAUUCAAAAUGAGCUAAAUUAAAUAUUAUUACAUUCAAUUUAGUCCAAAAGCACAUAAAUAGUCAAAUUACCAUUUUACCCCUAACAUUUACACUUUUUGCAAUUUAGUCCCUAUUGCAUAAAACACAAAAUACACAAAAUUUUCCUACACUAUACAAGGGCCGAAUGUUCCUAGUGCUCAUACAAGUCCACACAUUUUAUUUACUUCACAUUUUAGUCCCCCAAAAAUUUAAUUUCACAAUUUAGCCCUAAUUACUCAAUUUCACCAAAAAUUCAAAAACAAAACAUGUUUAUCUUUCACAUAUAUAUCUUUCAUAUUUCAUCAUCAACUAUCACAAAGCUCAAGCAUUCAUCAAUGGCGUAUCACAAAAUCAUAACCAAAUUCUAAAAUUAAAGCAUGGGUCUUGUAGUACAUAAAGCAGUGAUCUCAAAAACGUAAAAAUUUUCAAAAACCGAACAAAAACAAACCUUUAAUUAAGCAAGGAUAUGGCCAAACCUUCUUCAAGCAUUUUAAUGGCUUUCUUUCAUCUCAAUUUCGGCUAAAGAAGAUGAUACAAACUAUAUUUUAUGUUUUAACUAUUAUGUAUUAUAAUAAUUUAUAAUCUACUAAUUUAACCUUAUUAAAAAUAAUUAUAACCUUUAUAUAUUAAGGUUAGUUUUGACCUUAGCCACCCACUAUCUAAAUAGUGGUUAAAUUGCAUCUUUAAACCUUCUGAUUAAAAAGACAACAACAAAUGGAUGCUUUUAGAUUUAACCCCUAAAUUUUUAUUUUGCGCGAUUAAGCCCUUUUUAUCAAAUUGAGCACUCAAGCGAUCAAAUUUUCAUACGAAAUUUUCACACAUAGUAAUUCACAUACUAAAAAUACCAAAAAUAAUUUUAAAUUAUUUUUUUGACUCGGAUUUGUGGUCUCGAAACCACUUUGUCUGAUUAGGGUCAAAAUCGGGCUGUUACAGGAUGUUUAUCUAUUAAUGAACAUUCUCAUAACUUUUAUCUUUUGUAUUUUAAGUUUACUAUGUGUUUGUUAAAAUGCUUGUGCAAAAUUUAAGUUCAAUCAUGUGCUAAAUUGUUUUAUUGGUUGAUUGAUGAGUGAGUUCACUACAGUAAAAUAGGUUUAUAGCGGCGUUUUUUGGCCCUAUAAGCACCGCUAAAAAAAUUUGCAGCGUUUUGAUAAGUGCCUUAAAAAAUGCCACUAUAGAUAACGCUGCUAAAUUUGCAACGUUUAUGUGGAAAAACGCCGCUAUAGAACAUGACCUUUAGCGACGCUUCUUAUAAAAAUGGCACUAGCUUUGGCGGUACUUUUUCAACAAACGCCACUAUAGAACAUGAUCUUUAGCAGUGCUUUUCCCACAAAUGUCGCUAAAGGUCAUGUUCUUUGGCGGCGUUUAUGGGAAAACACCACUAGCUUUAGCAUAUUUUACCAAACCAUUUUAAUUCGUAUAGAACCCGAAUUGUCAACAUAAUUUCCUGUAACAUCAAAUCCAACCAAAAACUUCAAAUCUAAAUGAUACUAUCACGAAAGAAAUAUGUAUAUGAUCUAAAUUAAUAAAUGAAAUAACAUAUUAUAUUAUAUUCAAAAGUUAUAUUGUUAAAAUAUUCUCACAAUAAGAAAACAAAAGUCUAAGAUGGCAGAUUCUAUGACAGCUGAAGCAUUUUCAUCAUAUUCUGAAGCUGUAGCUAGAGUUCAUCAUAUUUUCUUGUUGCAUCUGCUUCCCUCGCUGCUGCCUCUGCUUUAAGUUGUAGCUAGAGUUCAUCAUAUUUUCUUUGAGCCUCUACUUCUCUUGAUGUUGCCUCUGCUUUAAGUUGAGCAACUUGCUUAACUGUGCUCACUUGCAUCUUAGCCAUCUGGUUUCUUAACCUCUGAACUUCAGCUUGAGCCUAAUUUCCCGAAGACAUGUAUUGCUGCGAGCUAGAUCCAAAAUAUUGGGUUGGGUUAACAAAAUAUUCGGUAAUCAAUGUCGUCUAGAUUAACAGAACUAUCACUUACUCUGCCCUUUUAUCCUUUAGUUUCUCCUAAUAAAUCAAUUAAUGAGUUAGAAACGAAAUAUAUAAUCAAACAAAUGCAACAUAACUUGGCAUUAUUUGCAUUACAAACGACGAAUUAAAUCGUUAUAAUUAAACAUGAUAAAUAUUUAAAAUAAUUCAAAUUUUAUUAAGUAAAUCUACAAUAAUUUUUACAAUUUCAAUAGUCAUAGGAGAUCCAUUUCUUUCUAUGUGUAAUGUCAAAAAGCUAAAGGCGUCCAACUUUUUGACCAGACGACAGUUCUACAAUAUAACAGGAAAAAUAUUAUUUAGUAGAAAGUAAUUAAUAUUUGACACAAUUAAUAAAUUCAAAAUACCUCGUCAUCAGCUAUACAAGCAAAACUUUUCGACCUAACUGUGUGCAUGAAUUUUUGUUUUUGCCUACUUAUAGUUCCAACUCACUCACAAUCUUACAUUAUGAAAUUAUCAUUACGUAUAUAGUAAAUACUAUAAACUGAAAUAGUUAUAAGAGUUUGGAAGUACGUAAUACCUCUCCUUUCUUUGAAUUCCAAAAUCUAACUGCAUCUUCCCAUUGGUACCUCAGUAUUCCCGGCGGGACAUUUCACAAUUUCUCUUUGAAGCUUAUAUUUUUCUUAAAAUAUUAAUUCUUUAAAGUUGUAGGACCCCGAAUUCUGGGCUAGAAGUUUUAAGGUCUGUAGGUAGGGUCAGUGGCUAAAUCAGGCAUUCGAGCUUAUUUUCGCAUUCAAGUGAUAGAAUGGGUUUGCUGGUCUGGUGGUUAGUGGUAUGCUAGUGUAUCUCUAGGUCACGUGUUCGAACCUUUGUGUGUGCAUUUUGGAGAAUAUUUUUAUUUUGUUAAAUAGUAAACUUGUUUUAAGUUUUUAAAAAAUAAUUAUUAGUUUUUUUUUUGUUUUUUUUUUGGUUACUGUUUCUUGCACGUUCUCCUCUCCCUCUCCCUCUUUUUGGUUUUCUUUUUUUUCUCUCUCUUUUCUUUUAGGAAAAAUGGUUUUUCUUGCAGAUUUCAGAGAGCUUUGCUCCUUUGUCGAUGAUUUGGUAUCUAGAUGUCAUUGAUCACGAAUUAAGGUGUGGGUUCCGUAUCUUUCUAAUUUAUUUGUGAAUUCUCGUUUUGACAAUGUGAAAGUCUGCAUUUUGUGUGUGUUUGCAAAUCGAUUGUUUAGGAUGUUGUUCUGCUAUUUUUAUGCAUAGAACUUGUUUGAUUUGGUAAAAUUUUGAAUGAUCGAGGGUUGGGAAGUGCUUCGAGGUUGAAAGCACAUUUUUUGGGGCUAUUUUAGGGUGGUUUCUUGACCACACGGGUGGCCAUACGGGCGUGCGUCCCUAUACGGGAAGUUUACACUGUCGUGUGUAAUUGGGAAUUAGGGUUUCUAGGCUAAUUUGGGUGCUACACGCCUGUAUGGUUGUUUUGGGAAAUUAGUCGAUUUUUACACAAUCGUGUCUCCUGAGCACACGGGUGUAUGUGUUUAGGGAUUAGGGAUUUAGUUUUGGUGUCACACGAUCGUGUGGCUAAUUUGGUGAUUUAGGGAUCCCACAUGGGCCUGUGAGACCCUCACACGGCUGUGUCUGCCCUACACUCUAUUUUAGUACAAACGGACAGAGAGUUACACGGCUGGAUCACACGACUAUGUCCCUAGGUCACACAGGCUUGUGCCUCCUUCCACAUGGGUGUGUGUCCCUCCACAUGGGCGUGUUGACCCCCUCACACGGCCUAGACUUUUUCACACGGCUGGAGCACACGGCCUAAUCACAUCGAAAUAAGACAACCUUUCAUUUGCCAUAGUAAUCCAAUUCAAUAAUGUCCGUAAGAAGUCCGUAAUACUCCACAUUUCCCUCAACAUGAUUACUAUCUCUAGCACUAGCAUAACUUGUAAUUGAAGAAUUAAUAACUAUUCCACAAUUUUGAGUCUUCCUCAAUCUUUCACAAGAUUUUGUAUGAAACAUGAAUCCAUUAAUAAGAAAGGCAUUAUAUCUUUUUACUACUCUGUUCAGACCUUGAGAAAGCCAUUUAACUUCUUCAUUAACGUCCUUUCCACUCCAAACCUAUAAAAUUGAAAGUAAAUUGAUUAAUCAUAAUGUUAUACGAAAACAUUAUUAUUUGUCAUUGAAAGCUUCAGUUGCAUACCGUCUACCCUAACCAUUCAUGAAAAGAUUCUGUGAAUAACUUAUGAAUCUCUCGAUGUUAUAAUCUUCGGGAGUGUGAACAAGAUCUCAAGGCUUGUUUGUACUCACUAUGUUAAAAAGUGGAUUAGUUGGUUAGAAGAUAAACAAAUGAAAAAGAUAAAUAUUUAUCAAAUUCUAAAACUUACUUGUGUAAUGGUUCAAUUGAAUCGUGGUGAAAAAGAAUAUAUGGAUGUGCUUAUACUCAAGAUCUAUCAUCUAAGUAUGCAAUUUCAACUUUACCAAUUGGUUGUCCAUAACUUCAAAAUAGAUAAGUUUCAGCUAAGUUAUGAUUAGUGAGCCCAACAUUUCUACUUGGUCUAUUCAGUCUUGUUUCAACAUCUUUUAAAUAUCUAGAGCAGAAAGUCAUACAUUCAUCUGCUAAGUAACCUUCAACAGUUGAUCCUUCUGGAUAACGCUUAUUACGACAAUAGGACUUCAAUUUGCAUAGGAACCUAAACACGAUAUACAACAUUAUCAAAAGUGUAAGUAAAGGUAUAUUCAUGAAUGAAUGAAAACUUUGCAAAUAAAUUAGCACCUCUCUAUAGGAUACAUCUACCGAUAGAAAACCGGUCCCCCAAGUUUUGCUUCAUGAGGGAGAUGGAUUAGUAAGUGCACCACACUUGCCCCUUGUCUCCAUCUAUCUAUGACCUUUGAAAAAUAUUAGUGUUGAGUUACUAAUCAUUUGUAUAGUUAAUUGCAACUAAAGAUAUAAUUUAAACCGGAAAGUAAAGAUAAUAAACAUAAAAAUUAUUUAUACAAUUCAAAACUUCUUUCUAUGCUUUUGGGAUUUUUUUUAACAAAUAACCCAUUAUAAAUUAAUAGUAUAAAAUGUGAUUUAAGCUUAAUUCAUUUUCUAUCUUAUAACCUCACUCCUAUACAUUUAUUUAUAUUCACUUUUACUUUCCCACGCAGUUCUUUUGACGGACAAAAGUGUUCUUUCUAUUAGUACACAAAUCAAUAAGCAAAUUUUCUGCUACAAUAAUGAAAUAAUGCCAUUGAAGAUUUGCCCCAAUUAAAUUCUUGUACUUGUAACAAAUUUUAUUUAAAAAAUAAAUUUAAAAUGACUUAAUUAUAGGUUAACAAAUUAUAUUUUAAUUGGAUUGAUUUAUUUUAUUUUUUGAUUAAUAUAAAGUGAACUUUAUUUUAAAUAUUAUUUAAUUUAAAUUUAAAUAAAAUAAUAAAAUAUAAAAAAAACUCGAAAUUAACAAAAAAGGAACAAACAAACUUUCUAUUAAAAUAACUAUAGUAAAUUUACAGAUUAUCGAAUUGGUACAUUAGUUAUAAAAUAUAAAAUAUAUUAUUAUAUUGUUUUAAAAUAGUUAAAUGAAAUUUAAAUAAAAGGUUUAAGAAAUUUUCAAAUUAUCGUUGGAUUCGAUUCAAUACUAUGAACAAACAUAAUUUUUUUUUAAAAUAUCAAAAGAAAAUAAUUAAAAAUAAAAUAAAAUUAAACAUCCCAACCAAUCAAUAAAAGAAUAUCAUCCUAGAAAAAAAUUUGGAAAAUUCAUCAUUUUCUCAAUUUUUUUGAAAAGUAUUUUUCAAUAACUAGAAGAAAAAUAAGUUAGAAUAUACUCUUAAUUUAGGUACAUUUCAUACAUUUGAAAUUUAAUUUUAUUUUUAAUAUUUUUUUUUGAAUUUCAAAAUUCAUAUUCAAUUAUUAAUGUCAUUAAAAUUCUUUUACUAAAUUUAUUGGUGUGAUAUUUUAAAAUAAAGAAUACUUGAUAUUUACAUAAACAAAUAAUAUUAUAAUAAGUUUAAAUUUAAUAUACAAAUCUUAAUAGUAUUAACAAUUAAAUAAAUUUUAAAAAGAAAAUUGGAGAUCACAAAACCUUACUAUGGGAAUCUAAUGCUUUCAACAAAGAAUAAGAAUAAUAAAAGCUUUAAAUAUUUAUUUUAUCUCCUUUGGACCAUAACCAUGCAUUGGAAUUUUUUUUUUUUUUUUUUACAAUUUAUUCAUUCUUUCUAUAGGUAGAUAGAAUAUAUUAUCUGCACCACUAGAGAGUUAGUACCAAAUACCAAAUCAAUUGACCUAGAAAAAUGUUAAUUGUUAAUGCUAGGCAAGUUUGAUUAAUACUUAGAGUGUUUAUCGUUUUAAAUGUGACCUGAGUUUAAAUUACGUUAAUCGCAUUAUUGCCAAAACUUUAUCCUCCUCUUAAAAUUCAUUAAAAAAUAAAAUAAAAUUAUUUUAAAAUAUAUUAAAAUGUCAUUUUUAGUAUCACACUCAACUUUAACCAUGCUUAAAGAUGUAAAAAAGUUGGCUCAACUUUAUAAUGCUUAAUAAUAUAUAAAAAGUUGUCUCGAUUAAAGAUGAUGAUAAUAAUAUUAUUAUUAAUACUUCUGAUAUAAUCCAUAAACAUUCCUUUUAUGACACUUGUGAAAAUAGAUUUUUUUUUUAUUUCUUUAGAUAAUAUAAAAAUGGUGAAAUUUCAGGUUUGGUGUAUAUUUAAAUACUCCAUUUUCAUUAAAAUGUUGGUGUACAUGUGUUUAAAUACAAUAAUUUCUACUCUUUUUUUUAAAUUAUACAACAAUGGUCAAAUUUUAGUUUUGGUCCCUAUAUUAUGUUCAUAUUUGAAAUUUUGAUCUAUAUACUUUAAUUUUUGACAUAAUUUGAUCUUUAAACAUUUUUAGUGUCAUUAGUUAGUAAAUAUUUUAUUCGGAUUAAAUAAUGAUGUGAAUUUUUAAGAAUUACCAUCAUUGUUAAAAUUCUCUGUUAAAUUCAUGUCAAUUACAAUGUCAUUUUUUUGUUACAUAGCUACUAAGUGAGUAUUUUACUGGUGGAUUUAACAUAAAAAUUUUGAUAGUAUUGACAAUUGAACCUGAAGUUUUAGAUCCAAAAAAGUAAAUGGAUUAAAUUCUUGAAAAUUGAAGUUUUAGGAUUAAAUUUUAAAUGUACGAAAAGUAUAGGGACUUAGAGCAUAUUUUAACCUUCAAAUUUUUAUUCUAUAAUUUUGUAAAAACUUAAUUGACCCAACACAAAGCAUGGUCGAAAACCAUGCUAGUAAAAGUAAUAGGAAAAGAAAACAUAAAAUAAUAAUUUGAAAAGAAAAUGUUAUAAAUUAUACUGGAUUAUAAGAUACUCACAAUGUUGGAUGAAAAACAAAAUCACGUAACAAAUAUAUUUAUAAAAAAAAAUUGAUAAAAGAACAAUUGAGGUUUUGGUUAAAAUGGUUAAAUAAAGUUGUUACAAACUAUAAUGUCUUAAAUUCAAAUCCUAUCAUGUAUCUGUAUUUUUUUAAUGCAAAAAUAUAAAAAAAAACUCUUAAAAUAAUAUAAUUUUGUAAUGCCCCAAAAUUUUGAGAAUUUAAUUGUAAGAAUUUGCAAUAAUUAAAUCUCUGUAUAUGUGGCUCUGUGAUUUACUAUUGUAUCUAUGAUUCGCAGUUCGAGUUGCUUUGUUAACGGUUUUAUUAGUUUCUAAAAACAACAUUUGUCCAUGCGUUAUAUAGUUAAGUUCAAUUCAGUGUAAAUUUAUAUCAAGAAUGAGCUUGUUGGUUCAUUGGUUAAAUAUAUAUCUGUAUUCUGUUUGGUUUUGAGUUUGAAUCCUAGAAUAUGCGAGAGAGAAUAUUUUUGCUAAAUGUUGGAAGUUGAUUGUGGUCGUAAGUGAAUAUGGUCUAGUCAAGAUUAUACAUUGUAAAUCGCAUCAAUCGAAAGGCUAUCGAGUAAGUCCCAGCCAAUUAGUUGUUGAUAAAGGAUUGUUGAUUUUCUAUUUAGGCAGAAAUAUCUGAAGUGGUGAACAGCGACAUGCCAAUUCCAGUGAUUGUCUUUAAAUUUUUUAUGGGUAUUGAGUCAAUUGGAAGUUUCGUGUCGAACCUUUCGACUUGGGUAUUAGGAGUAUAAUUGGGAUUGGUUGUCGAUAAAAUGGCUUAAUUGUGCAAUUAAAUGCUUAUUUUAGGCUUUGGAGAUCCUCCUCAUUGUUGUUGCUUCGAAAUCUCUUCAGGUGCGUGCUGAAAACCUUAAAUUUUGCAAGUUUCAGUCACUGGAAAUGGUGGUUGUCGACGCCACACAGCCAUGUGCCAGGCCAUGUGGUUGGCCGUGUGACUCACUGUUCAUCGGUUUGGGGCCAAACAGGCACGGCACACGAGCGUGUGUUCAGGCCAUGUGUAGCCAUGUUGGUGUAGGGUUCACACGGGUAAUAGACACGAGUGUGUGUCCAGGCCGUGUAACUCAUUAUUUGUGACUUAGGGCCACACGGCCAGGGACAUGGGCGGUUGCCCAGGCCGUGUGAGCUACACAGACAAGGACACGGGUGUGUGUCCAAGCCGUGUAACUCACUGUUUAUGUUUUGGAGCCACACGGGCAAGGACAGCAUGUGUCCAAGCCAUGUAACUCAUUGUUUAUGCUUGGGAACCACACUGGCAUGUAACUUACUCUUAAUAUAUAACUCUAAAUCGAGCACCAUUUGUUUUAAACGAAACUAGACUUCUGUAUGGUUAUAAAGAUAUAAGGCUCACUUCCUAUUUUAUCUUGUGAAUUUUUUUGUUAUUUUUCAAAGUCACUGUUAAAUCUGUUUUAUAAGAAUUCUGUUGCCAGAUUUUUAUGACAUUUCAACACUCAAAAAUUCAUAUCUUUUAAAAUACAAAUCAAAAUCAAUCUUCGUUUGUUCUAAACGAAACUAGACUAACUCACGGUUACAACAAUGUACAGAUCACUUCUUAAUUAUUUUUACAGAAUUUAUUGUGAAUUUUCAAACUUACCAUUCAUGUAAUAAUCUGUUUCUAGCAGAUUUCACAACUAAGUUUUUAGCUUCAUUUUAAAUCAUCCAGACAAGAUUUCUACACAAAGACAUAUAACAUGCAUGCAUUAUCACACAAGCAUCAUAUUUAUGGCUUAUCAAGAAGUAUAGGAGAGUUAGAGGGUACCACAUUGAUGGAAGAACACCAACAAAGUUUCUUGCCUAGCUCUCCAUCACUUUGCCUUUACCCUUAGCUUUAGAAGAUUCACCACCCUUUUUAACUAAUAACCAUGUAACACAAGAGAUUUUCCACAAAAAUAAGAGUUGAUAGGAUGUAAAAUACAUACUUUAAAUAAAUAAAUAAAUAAAAUAUGAGAAGAUGGGUAGAGACUUCCUUAAACUCAAACCCUUCCAAACACCCAAAAACCUCCACCUUUAUCCUUGAAGAACAUAGAUAUUUUUUUUCUUUCAUGGAACUUUUUAAAAGAAAAAAAAAACUAGAUCAAGACCCUUACCUUCUUUGAGAUUUGGAGGAUAAAAAAAUGGUGAGAACUCACUCAAAUCUCCCUCCGUCUACAUGACUUGCUAAGGAAAAAAUAGAUGGAGAAAAGAAGAAGAACAAAUGAAGAAAUAUAAAAAGAAAAAAACAAUAAGGUGAUUAUAAUAUAGGGAAAAAUAGGGACAAAUCCACUUUAUCCCAUACCUCAAUCUACCAAACCAACUUUUCCCAUUAAUUGGGAGAAGAUUUUUAUUCAAAAAUGGUAAAAUCACCAUAUUAGCUAUCCAUCUUCCCCUACUUCACACAAGCUUCCCAACAUCCUUAAUUUCUUAUAAAAAGGUCCAAAAUUCACCCAAAUUAAUUCCAACAAAAACCCAAUCCUAAAAUAAAUUUAUCCAUUGCCAACCCAAGUUAACACUCGAACGUUGACUCGAGAAUUUGGGGUCGUUACAACUUUCCCCUCCUUAAAAAAAUUUCGUCCUCGAAAUUUACAUAAAUAAAAAAGGUGCGGAUACUGUAAUUUCAUGGACUCCUCUAGCUCCCAUGUCGCCUCCUCAACUCCAUGAUUCCUUCACAGGGCCUUCACUUAGAAGAUUUUCUUGUUCCUAAUUUCUUUAAUAUUUCAGGCCAAAAUCUGAAUAGGCUUUUCUUCAUAUGACAAGUCUGGGCUCACUUCAAUCUGCUCAAGCAGUAAGAUAUAAGAAGGAUCAGAAUGAUACCUCUUAAGCAUGGAUGCGUGGAACACAUUAUGAAUACGUUCUAACUCUAGUGGCAAGGCUAAUCGAUAUGCCACUGGUCCAACUUUCUCUAUAACUUCAUAAGGUCCAAUGAACCUGGGACUCAAUUUCCCUUUGCAUCCAAAGCGUAAAACUUUCUUCCAAGGUGAAACCUUAAGGUAGACCUUGUCGCCCACUGCAAACUCUAUGUCUUUACGCUUCAAAUCUGCAUAUGACUUCUGAUGAUCGAAAGCUACUCUCAGAUUGUCCUGGAUCAUCCGAACCUUAUCCUCAGUCUCCUUGACUAACUCCAAACCAACAAUCUUCCUCUCAUUAAGUUCUGUCCAACACAAAGGAGUCCUGCACUAACGACCAUAGAAUACCUCAAAAGGGUCAUCUGAAUGCUAGACUGAUAACUAUUUUUGUAUGUGAACUCGACCAAGGGAAGGUGCUCUUCCCAACCUCCUUAAAACUCAAUGAUACAACAACGAAGCAUAUCCUCGAGAAUUUGAAUGACUCGCUCUGAUUGACCAUCAGUCUGCGGAUGAAAAGCUGUACUGAAGUGCUGGCAUGUACCUAACGCCUCAUGAGGAGUUCUCCAAAAUCUUGAAGUGAAACGCAGAUCUCUGUCUGAAAUAAUCGAAGUCGGCACCCCGUGAAGCCUCACUAUCUCACCAAUAUACAAUUUGGCCAACUUCUCGAGAGUGAAGUCCAUGCGUAUUGGUAGGAAAUGUGCAGUCUUCAUCAAUCUAUCCACGAUUACCCAAAUUAUGUCGUGUUUACACCAAGACAUAGGUAACCCAGUCACAAAAUCCAUAGUGAAUCUAUCCCAUUUCCACUGCGGAAUCUGGAUAGGCUGAAGAAGACCUGAAGGAACUUGAUGUUCUGCCUUCACCUACUGACAAGCUAAGCAUUAAGUCACAAACUCUAACAUAUCUCUCUUCAUCCUUGACCACCAAUAAAAUGGACAAAGCUCCUGAUACAUCUUGUUACUACCUGGGUACAUAGUAAACGGACUACUAUGUGCCUCAAGAAGAAUCUUAUUCCUUAGUUCAUCUGCUGGAACACAAAUAGUUCAUCUGUUGGAACACAAAGUCGCCCUCUAAAAUACAAUACAUCGCCAUCUUGUAAUUUGAAGCCUGAUACUUCUCCUAGCCUCGCCCUAUCUACUUUGACAACCAAACUAUCAUCAGACUUCUACGCCUCUUUUACCUCUAGCACCAACAUCGGUUCAACCUGAAGCUCAGCUAAUAAACCACCAUGCUCUAACAAGCUCAAAUUCACAAACAUCGCUCGCUAAUAAACCACCUGAGACUCUAUGGUGUGUAGGGCUGGCUGGGCAUUGAACACCCUUAAUGGUAUGUUGGGAUGGUCGAAGAUGGUUUGUAGAGGUUGGGGGUAGGAAAACCUGCAUGUGAAACUGAUUUGUUCUGUAAAUGAAACUGAAACUACUUUUUCUUCUGUAAUUGAACUGUUCUGUAUCUCAAUUGGACGCUACGGGAGCUCGGUCAAGCUUUUAUCAUUCGUUUAAAUACUACUUUAGGAAUUUCGGUAAACUAUGAUUAUAUGACUUUCGGAAGAUUAUAUACUUAACUAAUCUUUGUGAUGGCUAUUAUGCGACAGAUAGUUUUGUUUUAUUGCGUUAUAUAUGUGGUAUUUUAGUAUCGAUGAUGAAAACCUCUAGACUUGGGCUGGACGUCUAAGCCGGGUUUAGGGUGUUACAAAUUUACUUUAUUAAAAAUGAUAUUUUAGUCGUUACUCAAUUGAGUUGGUGCUCGAUUGACUUAUGGCAUAAACUCGAUCAAUGACUUAUUAUAUACUAGAUUAUGAUUUAUGACACACUUAAGAUGUGAGUUUACAAAUAUAUUUAUUACAAGUUCAUAUGAAACCAAAUGAUACUUUAGUUUAAGUGAUUACAUUAAAUAUUUAAAACUUAUUACAUUGUAAAUUAACUCAUGACAUCGACUUAGUAUAAAUAUUAAAAUUUUAAAUUUUAAAUUUAAUUAGACUAAAAUUUAUAUUUAAAUCAGGAUGAGAUUCAAUGGGAAAAAUCAUAGUCUUCAUGAAUCUAGACUCCAAACAUUAGACUUAAUGAUUCGUAUAUUCCAAUCAUAUUUGUAUAUUUUAUCAUAUCAUAAUUAUAUUUAAAAUAUUUUAUAGUUAUAAAAAAUUAAUACAUUAAUAAUUUAUAUGUAUAAGUUUUGAAAUAUUCAUAUAUCUAUAUCCUAUUUUAUUUCGUAUUUUUAAUUAUCGUUACAUAGCAAAGCUAAAAAAAAUAGGUAACAUAUAAAUAUUUUUACCAAAAAAACAAAAUGUGUUAAAAUAUUUUAAAACGAGGGGGUGAAGGAAUAAAGAUGUCGAGAAUAAAGGGGCCGCAGGAAAAAAGAAAGAAAAGAGUUUAGUACAUGUUGGUCAAUGAUCGAAGUUGAUGCAAUUAUUUCUCUACUUUAUGUGAACCUUAAAUCAUUACGGUUUAUUUAUAUUAUUAUUAUAACCAUCAUGUGCUUGAUUGAAUUGUAUUAGUGUCAUUUAUUAAACAAAUCAUCACUCAAUUAUAAAAUUGUUUUUUUUUUAUGUUUUGAUAAAUUUAAGAAAAUACAUAUACGUGAUGAAAUCAUGAAUUUUGAACUCUAAACAUUAUACUAUCUUAAUUUAUUUCGAUUUUCUAUUAAUAUAAAAACACAUAAACGUUUAUAAUUUAGGAGACAUUUAGUUUAAGUCAUCAUAUGUUUUCAGGGAUAAUUUUAAAUUUUGACUUAACAUAUUCACAAAAAAAAAAAAAGUUUGGUUUUUAAAUAUUAUCUUAAAUCGAUAAUUUUACGUUCUCAAUAUUACUCAAGUUUUAGAUUAUAGAGGUAACCACAAUGAGAACUCCUCCUUGUUAAUAUAAGAUUUUUGGGUAAUCUUCAUUUCAUGAUAUUUUUAACUUUACUUAUCUAUAACGUUGGUCAACUUUUAUCCUUUCAUUUUACGAAUUUUUAAUAAAAUUUAUAAAUUAUAUUAACCACAUUUAGAAAUUAUCUAAAAUGUUUUUUUAAUAAAAUUUAUAUGUAAUAAUAAAGUAAGUUGAGAUCAUGGGACGGAAAAAUUAAUAAUUAAUUAUAAUAAUACUAUGAUAAAUGUAAAGUUUAGGUUUUUGCGACAAAAAUGGUAAUACUAAGGUUUAGAGUCUAAUGAAAAACCCAUCAACUUUCAUAGCAAUAUCUUCCAUUAAUGUCCCAUUAAUGUUGAAGGAAGUAAAUUUAUUUAAAAUUAUAUAUAUAUAAUAAAAGCAGAUUAGUAAAAUAUGUUUUUUUAGAUAAUUUUGUCUUCCAUUACAUUGUUUAGAUUGUUAAUAUUUUGGACAUUCUGUACUAUCAUAUUACAAAAUAGUAUUAAGAUGUCAUAAUAUAGGGUAUAAUAUUAUUACGGUUCAUUCCUUAGGUUACAUUAGAUAAUGGGCAUAAUCUUAAAUUCUAGAUCAAUUUGCCCUUUAUUUUUGUUAUUUUAAUUAAUUUAGACUUUUUUCCUAACUUAAAUUUAAUACUAAUUAAAAAUAAAAAAAAUAUUUUUUUCUUAAUAUUAAACCAAUUACAAUUAUAAUUAUUAUAAUUUAUUUGAUAUUUUUUUUAUUAAUAUAUUGAUUAUAAUUAUGAUUAGUGUUACAAUCACUUUUUAUGAAAUAUUAUAAUUAUGAUUUAUAAAUUUAUUUUUAACAUUGUAUAUUUACUUAUUAAUAUAUAAAGUGUAAUAAGAAGUGAAGAUUGUAAUAAUUUAUCAUAAUUUCAUGAAAAUCAUAGAUUAAAGAAGAUUAAAGGAACUAAAUUUGUUUUUUUUUUAAACAAACUCUAUAACAAGAAUAAUUGAAUAGAUAGUGUUUUUAAGUAAUUUUCCAUUCCAUGAACCAAACAUUUAAAUUUUACAUACCAGACAAAUAAGCCACAUAAGAUAAUUUCAAAUUUCACAUAUAACCUUACAUUCAUGUAAUCUUAUUGCGGACAUAGUUUAAUAUUCAAAUUAACUAAUCACGUCUAAAUUAUUUUCUUCAAGAUAAAAGUUGUUAUAAAAUAACCUCUUUUUAUCUCACAUAAAAUCUUAUUCUAAAAUCUCAAUAUUUGAUGUAAUUAUAAGUCAAGAUUAUAAUUUAAAACAAUACACUUUUUUAUUUUUUAAUUUAAAUUAAUUGUAUUUAAAAAUGUGUAGGUAAGGUCAUCUCACUUUUUCUAAAUUUUUUUAAAAAAAUAUUUAGUUAAAUAAUAAAUACUUUAAUUACUCCACCCACAUUAUCGGUAGGCGUAGGGCUAGGAAUAGUAAACAUAGACUUCCACAAUUUCCAUCUCCACAAAGCUUCUCCAUUCAUAAACACUUGUAUUACUGUUUUCCUGUCAGCUUUUUUCUCUACAUCUUGUAAGUUCAAAAGUUUUCGCAUUUGCCAUUAAUGAUUAUGUUUGCUGUUUUCUUUUUAAAUUUAUUUUUGAUUAAUUGAUGCCAUUUUAUGAUCUGGGUAUUUCAUUGUUCUUAUUUUUUGUCUCUGUUAAAAAUGAAUGAAUUUCGACUGUUGUAGGAUGAAAUGUGAUUUAAACGAUUUGUUUAAUUCGUGAGUUGUUUUGAUGUUUUCUGAUUUAGCAAUUUAAUAUAAUGAUUGAUUUUGACAUAAUUUAAUUGUCAUUUCUCAUAUACUUAUAACAGCGUCGUGACAUUUUCGAUAAUAUCUGGAAUCAAGGGAGAGUUGUUGUUGAUAAAGCAAUAAACUUAGGUAUCUUUUCUUUGUUCGUUAAACAUUAAUGGCAAACAUUGAUUUUAGGGAAUAAAAUAAAUAAUUUAGACUUUAUUAAAAAAUAAAUUAAUUCUUGUACAAUCUAUUUCUACUAUUAUAAACUGGUAUUUUUACGUUAGCGCGAGAUACAAUUAGGUCUUGUACAAUCCACUUCUACUAUUAUAAACUCGUAUUAUAAAUUGGUAUUUUUACGUUAGCAUGAGAUACCAAUUUUUAAUGAUAGAAAUUGAAGAAAAUUUUUAAAAGAAAGAAUUAAUUUGUUUUUUGAUCUAAUACUCAAGAAUUAAUUUACCCAUUUUUUUGAAUUAAAAAAAAUAUAAUGUGAAUAUAAAGUUCUCUAUAAAAAUUUUACCAAAUCUUGUUUUAUAGUUCAUUGUCCUAUUUUUUUUUAUAGAAAAUGAAAGCGCUAGAAUAUGAUAAAUUCAAGUUUAAACUUGACAAACCAAAACAUAAAAAAGAGAAACCCAUAAUUUUUAUUAUUGUUUAUAUAUCUCUAUUGUUUGGUUAUUUUUGGAUUUUUUUUCUUGUUUGGUUAUUUUUGGAUUUUUUUUCAUGUUUGUUUUAUGUUUGCAAAUUCUAUGUUUAGGGUAUUUUGCCAAAGUUUUCUGAAUUUAGAUUGUAUAUAUAUUUUUUGUAGAAUUGGUUUUGGAAUGGCAACUUACAAGCCAAGGAACAUCCUAAUUACUGGGGCUGCUGGGUUUAUUGCAUCUCAUGUUGCAAACAGACUCAUUCGGAACUACCCGAAUUACAAGAUUGUCGCUCUCGACAAGCUCGAUUACUGCUCGAACUUAAAAAACCUUAAUCCAUCUAAGUCAUCUCCGAACUUUAAGUUUGUGGAAGGGGAUAUUGGUAGUGCUGAUCUUGUUAAUUACCUCCUCUUUACGGAGUCUAUCGACACGAUAAUGCAUUUUGCGGCCCAAACUCAUGUCGAUAACUCGUUCGGGAAUAGCUUCGAGUUCACUAAAAACAAUAUCUAUGGUACUCAUGUCUUGCUUGAAGCUUGCAAAGUCACUGGUCAAAUCAAGAGGUUCAUCCAUGUGAGUACUGAUGAGGUUUACGGGGAAACAGAUGAGGAUGCUGUUGUGGGAAACCAUGAGGCUUCUCAACUUCUCCCGUCGAACCCGUACUCCGCUACAAAAGCCGGUGCUGAAAUGCUUGUGAUGGCAUAUGGUAGAUCAUAUGGCUUGCCUGUGAUAACGACUCGAGGAAACAACGUUUACGGCCCGAACCAGUUCCCUGAGAAACUAAUUCCGAAGUUCAUCCUCUUAGCGAUGAGGGGAAUGGUUCUUCCAAUUCACGGGGACGGUUCGAAUGUGAGGAGUUAUUUGUAUUGUGAGGAUGUGGCUGAGGCCUUUGAAGUCAUACUUCAUAGGGGCGAAGUUGGACAUGUUUAUAACAUCGGGACAAAGAAAGAAAGGAGAGUGAUUGAUGUAGCCAAAGAUAUAUGCAAACUAUUCUUGAUGGAUCCAGAGAAAAGUAUUGAGUUUGUCGAGAAUCGACCAUUCAAUGACCAAAGGUAUUUUCUCGACGAUCAGAAACUAAAGAACUUGGGAUGGUCCGAACGAGUCAUAUGGGAAGAGGGGCUGAAAAAGACAAUAGAUUGGUACACCAAACAUCCUAAUUGGUGGGGUGAUGUUUCCGGUGCAUUGCUCCCUCACCCGAGAAUGCUGAUGAUACCGGGUGGACGGCACUUUGAUUUCGAAGAACUGAACCGUAUGUCACAUGUAAAUGAUCCUAAAUUGCCAAAUGGCAAAUCCAAACUUUAAAUGCAAUGAUUCUCCUUCAAAACCAUCACUACGUCCACCAUUGAUCUCUGUUGAUCAAGCCACGAAAGCACAUCUUCUAGUUACAGUGAUCAAUUUUCACGACUGCAGAUAACUAUCACCGCAACAAAAAAUUCGAAGCCCUUUACCCAAACCGCCAAAGAAAAUGUAUGAGCCUUAGCUCAAUUAUCUGAUGAGCAUUAUUUAAAACAAGUAUUGCAAGCAAUCAAUUUUUGAACAUGUACACCAGCUCAAUUAUUGAUAUAUAUCAUUUAUUAUAUUUAUUUUUUUUGAGAAGUCACUUUAAUUGAUAAAUUUUUUUUUUACAAUCAUAAUUUAAUGUUAUGCUGUUUAAUUAACAAGAAUGACGUUACCAUACAUCACAAUUAAUUCCAUUUAAGGAGAUUAAAUAGGUUUUUUUUUUAAAUUAAGAGUUUUUUAAAUUAGCAAAAGAGUUCAAAACCUCUCUUUAAAAUAUCAAUUAAAAACAUAUUAAGUUUUUUUUAUAUUUAUUUUUAGAAUUAUAAAUUAUAAUAGUUAAUGUUUUAAAUAAUUAUAAAACUUUUAAAAAUAUAAUAAUAUCCAAUAAUGUUGGAUUAGAGGUGUCCAUGGGCCGGGCCGGGCCGGGCCCAAGAAAAAAAUCGGCCCGGCCCAAAACAUGGGCCUAAAAUUUUACCCAGACCCAGCCCGGCCCAUUUUUUAAUAAACAUUAAAAAUUAUUUUAAAAUUAAAAAAUAAAAAAUAAAAAAAAAUAUUUAUUAUAUUCGGGCCGGGCCGGGCCAAAAAAGUGGUGCCUGAGGCCCGGCCCAUUUUUUAAACGGGCCUCGUUUUUUUGCCCAUGCUCAUAUUUCGAGCCUAUAUUUUUACCCAAACCCUCCCAUAUUUCGGGUGGGCCGUCGGGCCGGGCCGGGCCACCCGGCCCAUGGACAGGUCUAUGUUGGAUAACUUGUAUUGUUCAAUAAAAGGAGUCAGCAGAAGUGACUUUGUAAGGGUCAAUUCCUGAUACCCAAUUGGAAUUUAGAUUCUUAUAAAUGUGACAAAAUGAUUAAAUAUGAGUGUUUGGCUACUGUGCUGAGUCUCCAUAGCGUGUCUUAUUUGAAUAAACUUUUGUUUCUUUUUUAAUUAAUACUUUUUCAAUCUACAGUGGUAAAGCGAUGGUUGGCAGGCGCGAGUUCCUAAAAUGAAAAUUUUUUUAUUUUUAUUUUUUUUAUAAUUUAUAAAAUUUAAAUUAAUAAUGAUAAAACUAUACUUCAACAUUUAAAAAUGACAAAAAAUAAUUUAAUUUUUUAAAACUUGUAAAAAUAUAAAUUAUUAAAACGAUGAAAUUAUAUAUUUAUUAUUGUAAAAAUAUACAAUUUAAUUUUAAUUAAAAAAUAUAUAAAAAAUUAUUCAAUAAAACUUUUCUUGACACAGUUGACAAGGAGAUCUAAGAAAUAUGUGAAGAAUAUUUUUUAAUAAAAAGUAUUUUAAUUAAUAAAAACUAUAAAAGACAAUUAAUACUUAAAAUUGGCAUAAAUGUAGACUACUUUCAAACACUGCAAAUUUCUCAAUCAAAGACAGCUAUCAUUUAAUUCUCAAUAAUUGCAUCCAAAACCGUUAGCUCACUUCGACGAUAAAUUUAUUUUAAAUUUAUGGGUAAAUUAUUUAGUUGGUCAUUGGAUUUUUAGUAUUUUUAUUUUGGUUACCCGAAAUGAAAUCUUUAUAAUUUGAUCAUCUAACUUGUAGGCCACUUUCAUUUUAAUCACCUAAGCAUUAAAUAUCUGUUUAUCUCAUUGCUAAAAUUCUAUUUUUUUUAAUAUUGAAAUUUUAAAUUUCAAAAUAUCAAAAUAAAUUGAAUAAAUUGUUGAAUUUUUUUUAUCCAUUGUUAAUAUCAACUUACUUGUUACUAUAAUAUUAAAAUUAAUUAAUUUAAUAUCCUUUUAAAUUUUUAUUUUAUGUUUUCAGAUUAUACUUAAUGAAAUCAACUCAUAUUUAAUAAUUGUCUACGAAACUUAAAUUUCUUUUAAUUAUAUAUGUCGAAACCGUUUUUUGAAAACAAAAAUUUUGGUUGUCGACUUUAAAAAAUAAAACUGUAGUCACCACCGAUCCUUUAUUAAGGUGUGAUCGGCUCACCUUAAAAAUUAUUUUGGUCUACAAAUUUUGAGAAAACAAGUCCGGUAGUCAGUUACGCACGAGGAAGGGUUAGCACCCUCGUAACGCCCAAAAUCGGUACCAAAUUGAUCAUUUAAUGUCAUAGUGUCGAAGGUUAAAAAGAUUUUAAAAUCAACUCAAAUGAUGAAAUUUGAAAAAGGAUAAUCAAUUGUUCAAGUCAUGUAAAGAAAUCGAGUCCCAAUACGUUAGGGUACAAUUCCUCAUAAUCCCCGAACUUUGAAUAUCACUUUUAUUUUAUGUGAAAAUCUUCAUUCUGAGAAAGUAACAUGCCACACCCAAUGCGUUAGGACACAGCAAGUUAAGUUCCUAAAAAUAAUUUUUAUACUCAUGCAUUUUGAAUAAAGAAUAUCCUCGGUUAUUUAAGAUUAACAAAGAAAAUCAGAACCCAAUACGUUAAGGCUCAAUUUCCCUCAAAAAUCCCAAACUUCGAAUAUUGCUUUUAUUCAAAAAAAAAACCUUUGAAACAAGAGAAAAUAAUUUUGAUAUACUGACAAAAACCAAAAUAUACUCUCCCAAAAGGUAUGUUAAAAGCUAAUAUAUAAUAUGUAACAAAAGCUUUAAUUUAAAACAUAUAUGAAUAUGUAUUUACAAAAUAUAUGUAUACAAGUACAAUAUACAAGUAAAUUUACAAAUAUGUAUACGCAUAUAUUUAACACACAUAUACAAUGAUACAUAUAGAAAGAUAGAAUGGAAUAUAUCAAUCAAAAUCUAAUAAAAAUGCAUGUAUGUAUUUGAAAAUCGUGAAAAUAAAAUAAAAAUAUAAAAGUAUGUACAUGUGUAUAUAUUUACAAAAUAAAAAAAAAUGUAUAAGUAUAUGCAUUGGUAAAUCAUGAAUAUACGUACAUGCAUAUUAAAAUACUUAUAUAUAUAUAAUAUGUAUAAAUAACGGAGUAUAUAUAGAAUAAAAAUAACUCAAAAAUAUGAAAAUCGUAUAUAUAUAUAAUAUAAAAAAUGUGUAUUUUGAAUUGUAAAAUAUGGGAAACAUGUGUGGAUUUUAAAAUGUGCAUGUAUAUCUAUAUCUAUAUAUAUAUAUACACAUUUGUAAAAUAAAGAAAAAAAUAAUAUACAUAAAAAAAAUAGAAAUAUACGAAUAUAUACAUAUUUACAAAAGUAAAAAAAAAUUGAAAUUAAAAUAUAAAAGUAUAUAUAUAAUGUUUGUAUGUACAAAAAUAUAUGUAUGUAUUUAUAAAAUUUUUUAAAAAAAUGUAUGUAUAUGUAUUACUUUAAAAAACAUGCGUAUGUAUAUAUAGCAGUAGUAAUAAUAAUAAUAAUAAAAAUGAUGAUGAUGAUAAUAAUAAUAAUAAUAAUAAUAAUAAUAAAUGGGGACUAAAUCAAAAUUAAACAGAAUUUUAAGGUCAAACUUAAAAAUAAAAAAACAAAAAAAAAGCUAAAUCAUAUUGCGCAUGAAAGGGGAAGGACCAAAGAAAGAAAUAUCCCCGCGCUGGCAAAAACGGCGCCGUUCCAGUGGGCGCAUGCACAUGGUUCCUGGACCAGAUUGAAACAUGAAAUAAAUUUCGUGGCUAAAUUGUAAAUGCGUAAAGUACUGCAUUUAAAUCAAAAAUAAAAACGGGGGACCAAAAUCGGAAAUUUCCCAUUCAAGGCCAGAACGCGCGGAUCCUCCCCUCGGGUCGGGUCACCGCGGGGGUCUGGCCACUUUAAACGGCGCCGUUUUACCUUUUGUUUUAAAUUAAAUUAAAACAAACAGAGAAAGAAUUAGGGAAAAAUCUGUUUUCCCUUUCCCUGAAGCAGACAGCUUCUUUAGGGUUUUAUCAACCCUUCAGCGCCGCUUUUUCAAGAACCUUCAGCUUCUUUAGGAAUAAAAGGGUCCUAGCCUCCGAUCGUGACUGAGAAUGGAGCAGAACGCGAUAAGACCGGGUAAGUCUUCCUUCUCCCCUUUUAUUCCUGUUAAGAAAUAAAAUAUGUAAAAAAAUAAAAAAACUGGAUUCACCUUCGAAAAACAAAAAAAGUCUUUGUAUUCUCAGUCUUUCUCUCUAUUUUCGUCUUUCUUUACACUCAAAAGUCCCCCCCCCCAUUUACAGAUUAAAAAUCGGGCUUUUAUAGCCGAAAUAGAAAAGAAGAAAAUCUAAAAAUCAAAGAUCAAUCUAUCCUGUUGUUUAUCCGUAUUUUGUUGCCCGAUUUUUGCCCUGCGACUCCGAGUCUUGCGGAGGUGCGCAAAGAGGGCAGUAGUUGCGGCGGCUAAGGCUGUUAGGGUUUCUGAAAUUCUGCUGUUUUUUCGUCUUUACACUCAAAAGUCCCCCCCCCCUUUACAGAAUAAAAAUCGGGCUUUUACUAAAAAUCAAAGAUCAAUCUAUCCUGUUGUUUAUCCGUAUUUUGUUGCCCGAUUUUUGCCCUUCUGUUUUGUGUUUGUUGCUGCAGGUACUGCUGAAGGUGUGUGCGCGACGUUUGCGGAGGUGCGCGAGGAGUGCGACUCCGAGUCUUGCGGAGGUGCGCGAGGAGUGCGACUCCGAGUCUUGCGGAAAUUCUGCUGUUUUUUUGGUAUUCCAUGCUAAGCUAAAAGUAAAGGGAAAAAAUAGUUGUAAUUAAUUAAAUUAAUUGUUUGCUCUUCGUAUGAGUAAAGAAGUGAUGAAAUUUAUUUGAGUUUUGUUUGGAAUGAAAGAUAAAAUUAAUUGCAAGGAUAUUUUUAUUUACUUUUAGCUUAGCAGGGAAGAUUCAAAAUCAUAUAAUCAAAAGAAUUUGGGUUUUGUAGACAACUAUUAGGGACUUUUAUCGAUAAUUUUUGAAAAUAAAUUCAAAACAUCAAAAUAAAUAACUUGUUGAAAUUUUUUUAUCCAUUGAUAAUAUCAACUGAUUUGCUAUUAUAAUUUUAACUCUUGAUAUUUAUAAUUUUAUAUUUCAAAACCCAAAUUUAGAAUUUUCAACAAUGUACAAACUGACAAUUUUUGUGUAUUAUUUUAGUUUCUACCAUUUUUUUGUACUUAAAUUUUUAUUUUUUAUUUACCUCAAUCAAUACUUAAAAAAGAUAAUUUUUUGGGUGACUAAAAUAAAAACAACUUAAAAUUUAGGUAACCAAAAUGGAAGUACAGACAUGAUGUGGCAUGUAUAGUUAACAAAUGUUAAAAAUUU